This is a long non-coding RNA of Mus musculus (house mouse), 83131 nucleotides long. RefSeq annotates it as predicted gene 15521. NCBI's taxonomy places the organism in Eukaryota, Metazoa, Chordata, Mammalia, Rodentia, Muridae. The record is from RefSeq and is a predicted model, not a curated record. The transcript is spliced from 2 exons.
GGUAGGUGCCUGCUUCAUUCUUCAUUUUCCACGCAGACGUCAAGGCCGUUUCCCCAGGACGUCAUGGAGAGGUCAUUCUCCAGGACAGAAGGUCUGGGUUGUGGCUUUGAGAUGGCCCUGAGUUUGCUCUUUGAAAUGGGUGAGAUCUGUACCGUGCUGGCUGCACUGCCAACAGGGGACGCAUUCCUGGAGAGGUUCCAAGUGGGAAGUGGCUUAGGGCUGUGUGCUCUGAGGCUGGGCACCAGCUGCUCUAGGUGGACAGGCGUUUGAGGAUUGCAGGGGUUUGCUGUUUGCUUCUGGAAAGAGGAUUAAGGUAUUCCCAAGGAAGAAAACUUAGGGACUGGAGAACUCCUGUCCCAAGAGGGUUGUAAAUGGGCUAGAAGAUGGUGUUGCAGAAGAGAAGUUUGUGUGGAAGCUGAGCUCUGGAACAUUAAGAUUCAUUUACUUAAUUUUAAGGUCAAUUUCAUUACUGCUGCUGUAGUUUUCGAUUCCUGCAUGAUCAGCCAGACUGAAACACUACUUAUUUUCUCUUUAAUGUAAAGCAGAGGGAGCUCUGAAAAUCUGGAGACUGAUUGGGCAUUGUAAUAGUGAUUAUACUUUCCCAGUCCCUCGUGGAAGGAAGGCACUGAGUUCUCAGCCAGCACGGCAUUCCAAGGACCUCUGCUUCCUUGAGAUUACUGUGGACAUCUUGGUCUUCCCCUUGUCAGUUGUCGGGGAUCUGUUGAUAUAAUUGAGUGAUGGCUCCAUCCCACAUGGAUUUGUUACCAUCCUUGAGAGAGAAAGGGAGAGAAAUGUAAAGACUCCUAUUUAGCAGUCUAUAAAGCUCGAGUGUGAGCAUAAAAUGCAGUUGGUAAGAUAUCUGAAAGUUUCGGUCUCUUUUAAUGUCCAGUUAAAGGAGGGAAAGCAGAGUGGUGUAGAGAAGGCUUGGCAAGAAAGCAAGACUACUAAUAGCUCCAAUCAAGAAGAAAAGGAUCUUGGGGUGAUAAAUGGGCUUCAGGGUAAACCCUGUGCCUCACUUGUGCCUGAAAGCACUUUGUCAUUGGGUUGUUCCUUCAGCCCAAGAGUUUGAGAUUAAAAGUAUCUAAUUCCUUUUUUAAAUUUUUAAAUAUUUAGAUAUCCUUCAAGUCUUUCCCUGAUUAUGAGAGAGGGGGGGGGCUUACUUUACACCCAACUGCUUUUCCAAAAUAAGGCAACAUAUCACUGUAGAAAAGUCUAACCCUUUCCUUUGCAAGCUGUUACAUCUCCAUCCUACCGUCUUCCUGACUUUCCUCGGAUGGUGAUGUGACCCCCAUAUUACAUUCUCCUGGCUGUGGACACCUCUGGGAAUAUUUUUGGCAUCCGCACAAUGUAGAGAUUUAAGCUGCCAUCUCUCUGGAUCUAAGCCCAAGCUGAAGUUCUACCCACCCCAACCUGGCAGCCACAGACCACCUUUGGCAUCGUGCCUGAUAAAACAAUUAAAUGAUAAGGUUUGGGGCCGCAGAGGUGUCUGCUGCCUCUUUGUCACAAUCACAGUUGAUUGAGUUGUCGACUUAGUAGGAUAAUUCAGAGUUUUAGUUCACCUGUACACUGAAUAAGGCUGCGGCAUGAGCUCUUCUUGGAAUGCUCUGCCAUUUGUUGUGCAGAGGGAAAUGCGCUUGGAUGGGGAGGGAUUGGCAGCCACACAGAGCUUCUCCUCUGGACACUAUCCUGUCAACUCAGAGACAAGAGCAGUGGGAGAUUUCGGUUAUUAUGAUAGAUGAAGCCCGUGCCUCAGCAUUUCCUAUUAAUAUGGGAUAAUGGAGCACACAUCAAUGUUACAGGAAAAUCUUCUAAAGAGCAUAAAGAACAUGGGCGAUACUUGAAUAGUUUUUAUCUGCUGCGACUCUUGGAAGCAUGAGAAUAGGAUCCUAUUUGCACCUACAUCCUGAACAACACUUUCCUCAGCACCAGUGUGCCCUUGUGGGAGAGGAGAGGGGUAGCGUUCACAUAUGCGUCCCCCAAAGCACACACUUUGCUUAUUUUUAGAUACAUAGUCAAAGAGCUAUGGUUUUGUCUUUGAAAAGUGACAAGCAGAUAGGACAUUUUCCAGAAUCACGCCUGUGCCCUGACCAUUGAGUUCUCGAAACAUGGGUAGACUGAUUUAUCUUCUCCACCUCUGUACACUCUGCUCGGUCACUGUGCACAGCUUUCUAGCCCCAGUGCCAAACGCCCCAGCUUUUUCCUACCCUGACUCGCUAACCUGGCCACCUUCCCAGCUGCACAACCCUGGGUUAGCACAGUGAAUCAGUCUCCGCCCAGCACUCACUGUUCUCCAUUUUUCUUUGCACCUUGAUUCUGUGGCCUUCCUGAGGUCUGUUUGCAGCAGUCCCUGACUGGAACAAAGACCAUUCUGCUGGAUGGAGUUUGAACACAUUAUGGUCUUGCAUCUCUGGGAUUUUGUAGCAGCAUUUGGGUUUGAGGUGGGCAGGGUGCUCGGGUUUUUACCAGAGUGUGAAGGAAAGAGUCACUCCAUCUUCUAGAAGGGUCUUUGCAGAGCUUGUACAUUGCCAUCCACUGAGGUCAAUUUUGUUACAUUUAUUUAAAGCCAGCCCUUAUGAUCUACACACACAGAUACACACAGCACAAUGCUGGAAUAUCACAUGUUUCAAACACAGAGAUACACAUAUCACAAUGCUGGCAUAGCAUGUUUAUCAUCUUCUUAAAAAGAAGAGCAUUGAAAUUUAGAGAUUAAAUUAUCUUCCCUAAGUCAUCUGACCUUGAAGCCUAAGUUUGAAGUUCAGAGUAUCUGAACUGUUUGUCUAGAAGACAGGGCCCCAGGAGAACAGGGAAGAAAAGUCUAAACUACUCUGGUCCUGCUCUUCUCCUUCUUUCUGUAAUUAAUUAGCUACAAUCCCACUCUUCUCUGUUUUAGCAAAGUUCAAUAGGUGACCUUGACCUCAGUCAUUCUCAGGGCAGGGAUCUGAAGGGCCCAGUAUUAACGAAUAAAAUAUCAGUGGACCCAGGCUGAUAUCUUCAUCUGGUAUUAAUUUGUUCUGUGCCCUUAAGUCAUUUCAUUCCCCGUGUCCCUUAGAUGGUAACAAAGGCACAUUAAGCCUAGUAUUUUAUAAGCUCACAUGGAGACAAAUAAGACAUCACUUCAGAAAGGUUGUUGAAUGAUCAUAAUUAUGAUCAGCACCUGGAAAAUUCUUGCAAACUCCAGCCUUCCACAUCUGAAAAAAAUCUAGAAUUUAUUAUUAUUAUUAUUAUUAUUAUUAUUAUUGCCAAAGCAUGGAGCAGUUCUUGGCAGCUUUGUGGUUUUUUCUUCCUUUCAAUACCAGGUCUAUUGGAGAACAAAAUUAGCCUGCCAGUCACUCAGCAAUGUAUGGGCCUAAGGAAAUUAAGCUCCCCCUCUCUGAGGCUGCCUACCCCCAAGUGCCAGAUACCAAAACCCUACACUUGCCUGCCUCGUGUUUCUGGUCCCAGGUCUCCUUUCCCACUUCCUUAAUUGGAGAAUUUUAGCCAAACAAAUGGAGUACAUUUGAGAUGUAGUUCCAUUAUCUCCAAAUCAAAUGUUCCAGAAUGCAGGUGAUAUGAUGGUUGCUGCUCUCUCUUUCAUCCUUCAAAGUUUCUUCCCCACCCCCAACCCCUGUCUCCAGACCAGCCACCAUCAGACAUCUGUGACCAUCCUUUGAUGUCUGGCAGAAAGACCAGGAGGAGGCUAUGGCUCCAAGACCAUUUUGUGGUCUAAUAAAAGAGAUCAGGACCACUCAGCUCAUUCUCUUGUGUAGAUGACCUUAAAUACCCAAAAUCAAUGGGCUUUAUGCCUCUGCUGGGCCCUGGACCAGAAUCCAUGUAACUGCUUCCUGCAGCUCAGGACUAGGUACUGGACUGGCUGUAACAAAAUCGCUCUAAAUGCUUCCUGUGUUUGCCAGUGGCAUUCACCCUUUCCCUUCUGUCCCUCAGGGAAAUUAAGAAGGGCUUCUGCUGCAGAUUGACAGGUGGAGGCAGCUGCCUUGCCUUACCUGUCCUUUCCAUACCCCAUCUCUGGAGUGAGUUGUCUUAAUCCUGACAUUUGCCCAGCCUUUUAGAGAGAAAAAUCUUUUUGUACAGCACAGUAAAAAGAUUUUGGGUACACAGUGGGGGCACUGAUGUGACCUGCCAAGGAGACUUCACGGCAAGUGAGGGAUCAAGAGCUUUAACCAAACUCCUAGGUCCCAGUCACGUAUCUCUCCAAACUGUGCGUUGUUGAAUGCCCUGGCCACUUGAUGGCUUCAGAAUGGAGACAGAGCUCUUAAAAGAAGUCUUUAAUAAAGGCAGAGGACACAUGGCUGGGUGCAAAUCCAUUGGAAGUGAUUAGGACAGAGACAAAGAAAGGAGAGGCAGAGGCUGGACACACACAUGGCUCAGCUGUCAAGAGCAAACACUGCUCUCACAGAGGUUGUAAGUAAGUGAGGUCCCUAGCACCAGCGUAGGUGCCUCACGACAGCCUGUGAGUGUAGCUCCGGGAGGUCUGACCAUAUCUUCUGGCCUUGUCAGACACCUGCACUCUCAUGCACACAUGCACAUACAGAUACACAAGAUUAAAAUAAUAAAAUUUUUGACAAACAAACAAAAACUAAGACAGGAAAGGCAGUGUGGCCCCAUGGAGAAGCCAGGCAGGGCUAAGCCGCUCAGAACUGUGCCUGGACCGUGGGCUUCCGGGCUCUCAGAUUUGUGCACCUUACGUUUGUGUUGUUCAGUCUGUGGCAUCUUAUGUGAGAGUUCUAGAAAAUGAACGUGGGCAUGAGAGAGGUUUGAGACUCAGCCUGAGCAUUUGGGCAGAAAGGAAAGCUCCUCACACCCUCAGUGCUGAGCCCUGGAAAGGAGGCAGCCAUGCAAGUUCAAUUCCUGCUCUGCAGCGUUUGCUUGGCAUAAGCAAGCCACCGUUUUGAUCCGAAGUCUCCUUCCUAUGCAAUGGGUGUAAACCAUCUCUACCUCUCAUGUGAAAACUGAAAGCAUUAGUCACAAUAGAACAUAACUGUCUUAGUCAGGGUUUCUAUUCCUGCACAAACAUCAUGACCAAGAAGCAAGUUGGGGAGGAAAGGGUUUAUUUGGCUUACACUUCCAUACUGCUGUUCAUCACCAAGGAAGUCAGGACAGGAACUCAAGCAGGUCAGGAAGCAGGAGCUGAUGCAGAGGCCAUGGAGGGAUGUUCUUUACUGGCUUGCCUCUCCCGGCUUGCUCAGCCUGCUCUCUUAUAGAACCCAAGACUACCAGCCCAGAGAUGGCACCACCCACAAGGGGCCUUUCCCCCUUGAUCACUAAUUCAGGAAAUGCCUUACAGUUGGAUCUCAUGGAGGCCUUUCCUCAACUGAAGCUCCUUUCUCUGUGAUAACUCCAGCUGUGUCAAGUUUUCACAAAACUAGCCAGUACAAUACCUCACUUGAUAUCUAGUUCAUUGCUUAUGUUUUGUAUUCUAUGGGGGUCCAUGUAGCCCAGGCUGGCCUUCAAGUCCAGCUUCAAUCUACCCGGUGCUGGGAUUACAGGUGUGAGCUAUCAUACCUGGUUUAUUUGGGUCCGUGGAUACAAUCCAAUGACUCGUGCAUAUUAGUCAAGUGCUUGACAACCAAGUUAUAUCCAUUGUGACUUCUUAACAGUGAUUGAAUAAAUAUUAAUAGUAAAGUGGUGUCAUAAUAGGUGGUAUAUGCUAGGCCUGACACUGAAUAUUCUUCCAGGUCUCUUGACUGGAUCUGGCAUUUUCUGUUGAUAGUUAAAGAUAACACAGCUGCUCUUCUCCCUCAGGGCUACUGACUUCCUUGAGCAAGGGUUCCAGGGUCCUAGAGGGGAUGCUCUACCCUCUGUCUUCUCUCUGCCGCUGUUCACCAAUUGUUGGACUCACUGCCUUGGGAGGGGAACUGCCUUGAAUUCAAGGCAUUUCAUAAAGCCAUGUGCAUUCCACCCUGACUCCGCCUCCUCCUUUCCAUUCCCAGAAUAGUCUUUUAUUAAAGAGAGCCAGGAGUUACAGACACCUGAAGCCAGACUCCUAAGGAUGUACUGUUACUGAUCAUAAAUAAAGCGUCUCCAACAAAUGCAUAAGACAUCAAAAGGGUAGGGGUCACCUGCUCUGGCCUCUUCCUGUCCCUCUCCAAUGCACAGCGCUGGCCCCUGGCUAUGGGAACCCUCCCUGGAAUUGCUAAUAUCGGGAAGGAGAAAAGCGCCCAGCAUACACAUUGGAUCCUAACAUCCUGAGAUGGAAGAAGGCUGGAUCUCUAGCAAUGAGCUAAUUAAAAGCCAAAAGUCUCUGAGGGCAUUCCCAUUGUGUGCAUAAGAGCAAGGGGCAGGGACGUCUUCACUCUCUCCACCUGCCAGAUGACACUAACGUCCAGACACUUAUGAACAAGGAUGCACUCAGAGAAAGGAGAAGAAUGCCCUAGCCCCAGUAGGGACCCUUUGCCAGGGAGUUUGACAUUCCUUCCCAUUGGCAGAUAGCUGAUGUGCUACUGUUCGCAUUCUUGGUAGGUAAACAUCUAGAGCAGAUAUUCCAAGAUAUUUUCUUCCCCCCAACACAUCUGAGAGAUUUGACCUCAUUGGUUGGGAUCUAGAGAUACCAACUUUUUUUUUUUUUUUUUUUUUUGCAAUGAACAGACUAUGGGGACCCAGGACACCAUUGAAAAGGAGGAAGCCAGUGCUAUGCAUCUCAGCCUCAAUGCUCAGUGCCACAGUGUUGGGAAAUGAAUGGGCUUGCUGAAUGGCCUGAGAGAUACUCUCACCCAUGUCUCUGUCCUUAAAUUGCCUUGAAGCAAUGAACCCAGAUCCUUUUGUGGAGUCUCUGAGUACUCGCUGACUCACACGUCUCCUUCUUCCUGUGCUGUGUCCACUCCAGCCAGUGGACUCAGCAUUAGCCUUUGGUCUGUCCGUAACUACUUCUGUCCCUGUUGCACCAAGCGAUCCUUGGAGAGACUUUGUCAGGUGACUGUGUGCUUGUGACUCUCUUAAAGCAUGUGUAGAUGUGUGUGGGUUAAACUCAUCCUUCUCAUACCUUGCAUUGUUUUGUUUUGAGGCUGGGAAAGGUUGUUUUCAGAGAGCCAUGAAGGCGCCAUUCCUUAGCACUGUAGCCCUGGGGAUCCAGUCUGAGCUCUGGAACUUAGGUGACACAUUCAAGCUGUAACAUAAUAUCACCUGACAGUUGAAGAUUAAAGAAAAAUUAAAAAGUCGAUUAUAUGUUACAAGUCUCUAAGUCCCCAGGCUGUGUCCCUUAACCUACUCAGCUUUGAGUUAAGAAAGGGCAGUGCCAGGGCGACCUCUCCGAUGAGCUCCGCUGGCUCUCUCCUGGCUGACCAGGGGUGAGGUGGGAAACAUGAGUCUGAAGCUAGGAUUUAGGAGGAAGAAACUUUCCCUCUUCUAAUCCCCAAUUUCGGACAAACAUGGGCCCAGAAGUGAGUGAGCGAAUUAAAUUAACGAACACAAUUUCUUCCUGUCAUUGAACUCUGACUAAUGAGUCUAUUUCUGGGUAAUAAGAAGGAGCAGGAAGUGACAAGGCAGCGUAAUGAAUUAGUGGCCCAGAACCUCGUUAGUCAGAAUAAUCUCUCCACGAAAGAUAAAUGAUGCAAACAUUAAUUAUAAAGCCAGGGUGGAAAUGCAUCCCAUUAUUUGGCUCCCUAAGAAAUCUAUCCCAGUUAUUAUGAGGCAUCUCAGACAUCAACAACAGUGAUAAAGUAAGGGCUUGAUACGAACUCUAGCCUGGGUAGCCUGGGGGAUGACGCACUCCACUGGUGGUAGGUUCCAGUGGGAGGGCAAAGGAUUUGCUCCGCCUAUUAAAGGGAUAGUUGUAGGACUCACCAGCUGUGACUCCUGAUUUUUGCACUAGGAAACAUCUGUGUAUGGUGGCUGUUUCUCCAGUCAGCUCACUCACAGCCUAGCAUUCGGGUCCAUUAGAGCCACAGAGAAGUGACUCUUCCUUGAGACACCCCUACCCUUGUCUGGGUGCAUCUUACUCUUUUCCCUAUCAUCUCUCUUUUCUCUGAUCCUAAAGCUUAAGAUAGACAUUUUUAAAACUGUCUUAACAAACCUCCUCUCAGAGAAUCCUCUUUGGAAAGCCCCUCUUUUCUGAAAAUUCUGAAAUAUCUGAACAAUAUUAAAAUUUCUUUAAUAAAACCCAACUCUGCUUUGUUUGUUUAAAGACCCAAACGUUGUUUAAUUAAUUAAUUAAUCUUUUAGUUGAGGCAAAAGGUUCAACAACAAAACAAAACAAAAACAAAACAAAACAAAAACACUUAAUAACAAAAUAUCAAUGAAGCCAAGGGGUUUGUUAGAAACACGAACUCAAUUUUAAAAUGCAAUUCUUGGGUCAUGGAGAUGGAGAUGAUCCAGUGUGUUAAACCAUUGACGUGAAAGCAUUUCCCAGACUCCUCCAAAGCCAGACAUGGCAGCUCAUGUUUGUAAUUCCAGUUCUACUAUUGUGAGAUGGGCGGAUGGGAGGCAGAGACAGGAGGAUCUCUCCAGACUUGUGUGUGCACCACAGUAAAAAAGAACCCCUAGUAAAAGGAAGGAGAAAGGUGAGGGCUAAUACCGAAGGUUGUCCUCUGACCUCUGUGUGCCCAUGGUGGGACACACACACACACACACAAACUCAGAGAGAGACAGAGACAGACAGAGAGAGAAGGAGAGAAAGAGACAGAGACAGAUAGAAAUAGAUAGAGAGAGGGUGGAGAGCUUUAAGAGGUAGGGGUGGCUCAAAACCAUAGUGCUAUAGAUGAACUAUCAGCCAGAAUUUCCACACUGGUUCUGUGUGCUUGGGGAAGUUCCCUGGCCUUCACUAAGAAUUAUUUUGUCAUUAGUGUCUGGCAGUAGGCUCUCUGGCUAAGAGGGUUGUGUGGAGCAUUGAGUGGGUUGUACCCAAAAGACACUCACCGUCUACUCAGUGGUCCAUGCAUGCCACCCCCCCCCCUACUGUGAUGCCCUUUGCCACAGGUGGACAUCAUGAGGAUCCUUUGCAGCACAGAUGAGGGUAGAACCAAGUGUAUAAAGCUGGCAUACCACGCCCUGGAUGCUCUUCAGGGGCAGGACUUAGACGCAGAGCCUCUGGGCCGCUAGGCUGGGGACUGGGUGGGACCGUGUCAGCUCCUGGUGCCCUUUACUGCCCAAAAUUCUGGUCACAACCCAGAAAGCCAAUAAGGAGGCACAGAGGGAGGAGGAAGACUUGACCCUGAAGCUAGUGGAAAAGGCUGAAUCGGUAGAAAGAAAUGUGGCUGCAGAGACGUCAACCAGGGUAAGUAGUAUAGGGUUUAUAGCUGUAGUCCUAUCCAGCGCCAUGGUAAUAAAUCUGUCCUCGAGCUCACGGUUUCCAGGGUCCUCCCCGUGGCAGGUGGGGAGGACCAGCAUUUGAGGCAAAGCUGCAGAUUCUCUGAUGAGCCUCUUUCUAGGGGGACUCCCAGCUGAAGUGGAGGCCGAGGGCUGCUUUGGCUUUUAAGGCCCAGUUGUUAUCUGGCUGGCAAUGCUUGGUAAUGAGAAAAGAAGAAACAAUUAAUUGAAAGUGGAUUUUAAUUGUCUCUGGCUUCUUGUUUGUAGGCUAUUAAAAUGAGUUUCUUAUUAAGCUAUCACAUCAGGCUGCCUGGCUGCAGGAUGGCCCCAUAAUGCCCUUCACUCCCAUUCUGGCCUCUGAUUCACUCCCGUCUGCCUUGGCGAAAAUCAAGUGCUUGGAUUUUAGUAGAAUACAACAAAAGGGAAAAAUAGGAAAAAAACAAAAAACAAAAAAACAAAAAACAACAAAAAAAAAAACCAUAAAAAAAAAAACCCAUCUUGAUGUCAACAUCUUUGAUUUAAAAAAAACAACAACUAAAGCUCACAUGCCUUUUAUUAAUAAUUCUUUGGCCUUCCAUUUAUAAACACAUCUGCAAUCCCAGAGGAGGGCUGGUCAGAAAGGAACACAAAUGGAUCUGGGCGUUGUUGCCAACUGGUUACUGAGUCCCUGCAUCAGAGGCUCAAGGUAGAAAUGGACAGGGCAGAGAAAGAAGGUGGUAUAGGCGUGGAAAAGGACAGCUAGGCCAUCAUGUGCCCCUCUCCUGUCCACCCUGCCUAUUGCUGUGGCCCCAGUGGUGUGCUGAGGUUCCCUGCCAUCAGAGAUGCCAUCAGAGAUGAUGGGGAUGGGCUGAAGCCAUGCCAGCGGGACCUUACCUAGGACCCAGCACUCACUCUUCUGGUUGGAGGCUUUGACUUCAUAGAUCCUGAAAACCUGUCCUCAGCCCCAGGCAUCACACAGCAAGGAGCAACCGGACUGGAAGCCAUUUCCUCUUUGCUUUAACUCCUUUAUCUCACAGACACUGGGGCGCCUGCUCAUGUCCCUCUGUCCAUCCCCAACCCGGCCCUCAUCUCUCCAGCCCUCCCGCUCAGCAUCUUACCUCUGCCAUCUUGCCUUCUCCAGCCUCGACACUGCAGUGCUAAGGCUUAUCUAUGGCAGCUCCGUUCCCAAGAUCUGCUGGAUGGCUUUUGGCCUCUUGCCUUUGAGCAACUUCCCUCUCAGCAACUUUCCACUGUGGCAGGACUGUUGCCUCCCCCCCUCCCCCUUGGGCAUGCAGAUGUAUGUGUAAUCAGCCCGCAAGGCUGCUUCCACCCCUCAGCUCCCUUGGGCACUAUCUGGCUUCUCCUUCCCAGCCCCAUGGCUGCACAAUUUAUUUAUGGAGGGCCAGGGACACCUGUCUCUUUUCAUCUAAAUUACCUGCAAACUCAGGGGAAUCGUCUUUAGCUCCUGCUGGCCUUGGCCUCGUUCACUACGGGCUGAAGAGAGUGCGAUUGGAUGUAUGCUGACUCCGGGCUGAGUCCUGACUUUCCUCCAGAGGAGACCAUCUUUGACUUGGCAGAGUGAGCCCAUGGCUCAGAGCCCUGCAAGACCAGCCAAGAGUCAGCGGUAUCUGAAGCUGAGGCCUUGAGAAGAUCUGCAGGUCACCAGAGAUUGACAGAAUUGCCAGGCACCAAGGGUUGAUCGAAGAAAUUGUGUCAAAAGUGGCAGAGGAAUGUGUCUCCUGAGGGCUUUGUGGGUGGAUGAAAUGUCCUUGGUGGGGGCUGGAGCCCCUUUGAAAGUCACAUAAAGGUUGAAGGUUUGGUUCCCUAGGAUAGCAGCAGAUAGUCUGCUCAGGAAUAAAGAGAUCCAUCUUCUUGACCCAACUCCAGGGUACUGAGCUAGCCUUGUCAUCUGCAUCAUAGCAGUGGAUAGCCCAGCACACUGGUGAUUCUUUACUGUGCUAUGCUCAGCUGUUGACCCUCUCUUUCCUCCUAAAUGUAUCGUGUGGAUCUGAAGCAGACUGGGGCAAGGGAGGGCAGGUCUGAGUGUAGCUGCCACAGGGGUGUGAGUUCCUCUUCCCCAUGAACACCUCAGAAGUAUGGGAGGAAGACAGAAGGAACUGCAAUGUGGGGGCCUUGCAGCAGAGCACAGACACUCGCAUGCCUUCAGGAUGCAGGCAGCCAAGCUGCUCCUCUAAAGGCAGCUACAGUUGCAGCAUACCCAAGCUUACACAGCAAACACACUCCAAGCCACAGAUGAGCCCAGUUCCACAUGACUUGGAAAGCAGGGUGAUACCCCAGCAGACGCGUGGCUGCCCAGGCAGCUGGUACUCCCUACAGUCCCCCUGAUAGUCCCCAUCAUGUCACUGACUCUUGUCAAGGUCUGACUCAAGCUGCCUGAUAUCAUUGUCUCUGACUACAAUGACUUGAUCAGCAAGGAUAGGGCAGGGAAUUGCGUCUCAAGGGCCAUCAGGUGACAGAGAAGGCUGUAUGAGAGUGCCUUGAUCAGGUGAGUUUUGUAGAACUCUUGGUACAUGCAGGGGGCCUAGUGGAAAUUUCUAGAAUGGAAACACUAAAGACUUUGCAGUGCUGGGCCACUUGGAGAACCUGUGGAACUAGGGCUACCCAGGGCUCCUGGGUGGGUGGGUGGGUGGGGCAUAUUCUUGGUCUGGUAUUCAGCUAUAAGAUGGUGGUAGCCUCCUCCUCUCAUCAUAGCCUCCCUGAAAGGAGGCCCAUCUGCCCAGCACCCCCUUGCAUUUCUGUACACCUCAGGGAAAUAUUUUCUGAGAAGUGCUAAUUAUCCCCCCCCCCCCACCAUGUCUGUCUUCACGCCUGUGAAGGUGAGUGACUUUCUUCCUGUCUCCUUAUAGUAAUCCUGGUCACCCACCUAUCUGUGCAAAUGGACAAAGCCUCUGAUUAUGAAUGGCUCUGAAUGCUGCUGCAAUUGUGUUUGUUUCCUAUAGGGAAAUAUAGCAAUUGCUAUUUGUUCUUGCUAGGUGGAACCCAUGUGAGCAUCCAGGAGCUCUUAUAGUCACUGUUGGAUCCCUGCCAUCUCAGUUCUUCCUUGGAGGCAGGAGAGCAGAGCUGUUACAUGAACACAGCUUUUUAAAAGUAAAACGCCAGAACGGGGACUUGACAUCCCCAGUUAUGGAAAAGGAGGUUCCUUUGAGGGCCCUUCCUUGUGCCCAGUCUGUUGGUGACAGACACUGAUGGGUUGAAAAAGCAUAGAGAAAAGGGGAGGGGAAAAUAGCAUCUUGGGAAGAUAAUUGACUUUGGAAAAAUGCUAUGUCUGAGAUGGAAGAAGGAAAACAAGUGAAAAUAUGUUAUUUUACAACCUUGGUCCUCCUGACCUCAUUGAAAAUAAAUAUACACACAGCAGGUACAGCUUAGUGGAGGUCUAGCAUGGGGUACUGGCGCCCUCUUGUGGCCAUAGGAAAUAAUGCUCUCUUUUUCCUCUUUCUUUCCCUCCUUCCCUCCCUCUUACUGUCCCUCCCUUCCUCCCUCCCUCCUUCCCUUUCUCACUCCUCUAUCUCUUCCUCCAUGAGUAUUUGGUCUCUCUCUCUCUCUCUCUCUCUCUCUCUCUCUCUCUCUCUCUCUCUCUCUCUCUCUCUCUCUCUCUCUCUCUCUCUCUCUCUGUGUGUGUGUGUAUACAUGCCCAUAGUUACCAAUAAAGAAGGUACAUUGCAGAGAGGCGUGUUUGGGCAUCCCCUGAAUUCAAACUAAAAUGUUUUGAGAAAUAACUGCAGUUUCUUGUUUUCUCAAGGCAUUUUCAUACCAGAAGAGGAGAUGGUGGCACUGAAGAUAGGAAACCCAUUCUUAAAGAUUAGUUUGCUGUGUGUGUGUGUGUGUGUGUGUGUGUGUGUGUGUGUGUGUGUGUGUACAGCCGUCGUGGUCUCAGCUUCACCAUUUGUAAAAUGAUGAACUUGAACAGGGGAACAGGGUUACACCUCAGUUUCUUUUGGCCCAUGACAGCCCCUGAGGAAAAGCCAGGCUCUAGGAAGCUGCCAAGCCAUGACAAUGACCUAGGAAUGGAACUCCUUGCAUUAGAAUUGCAACAGCCUUUUGUUUCCAUUCAAUGGUGCAAAAUAAGGUCCACGUUGAACCCACUUGGCAAGCCUAAGUUCCCUGCCUGCUUACCUGAAAAGCUCCAUCUCUGAAACUCUCAGAAGGAGACACAAAUCUUCCCUUUGAGAGGAUGCUACCAGGGACCCCCACCCACCUCACUGAAGGAUGGGUAGUCACAGAGCUUAGAGAGUGGGCAUCACCCUGAGCUCUGGAUUAGUUUUCAAAACACGGGCUAACUGUUCGUGGGAUUUGAUCUUUUAUCUUCCCCUUUAUUUGAAACUCAACCCAAUACACUCACCAGUGAAAUGAAAGCUCUCUGGUAAGCCAGGCACCCCACAAGGUGCCUCUUUCCUUCUCCAUCUCUCCAUAUGUGGAGUCUUUUGUCUUUUUGGAUGUUUAGCCUGUGUGCAGACCUCCGCCUUCACUGGUACUCCCACCUCUUGGGCCUCCACCUCCAGAUCCAUCUUUGUGUUUAUUGUAGUGUGAGACCAAAGGAUCUUUGCUGUGGAAACCCCUGGGAUACAGCUGUUCAGCAAGACAGUGAUUUCCCGCGGCUACACUGUUUUAUUAAGUGUGUUAAACAGCCAAGCAGCUCAUCUGUCAGCCACUGUUUGUCAACUGGUUAUCUUGGCUGUCUCCCAAUAGAUAAGGGGUUGUUUCCCCAACACAUUUAAAAAUUCUUAUUACUGCCUGUGAUGUGACUUCACUAAUGUUAUUAUUAUAAUUCAUUUGUAUCUUACACAGGCUACAAUACAGACCAACCCUUUGCCAAGUACAUCAUCAUAACUGUUUGAAAUGGUGGCCAUGUUAAUAAGCAAUUAUUGUCCAGCUGUGGUGGCACAUGCCUUUAGCCCCAGCACUUUGGAGGCAUAGACAGAUAGAUUUCUGUGAGUUCAAAGCCAGCUUGCUCUAGAUAGUGAGUUCCAGGCCAGCCAGAGGGACAUGGUGAGACUUAAAAAAAAAUGUAAAAGCAAUUGUUUCUUGUUGAGGGCCAAUUAUGGGAAAGAAACUUUAGUUUCAGAGUCUUCUAUUUGUCAUGGAUGCUCUGGAAUUAGGGUAGUGUGCUAACUAGUUUUAGUAGGUGAAGACCUGAAGGCUCAGCCAAGCUGAAAUGGUUUCUGUGGGUUGUCAAAACUACUGAACUCUAGAAGAGAUGGAGAGAGGCCUGCUUCUAAGUCCAAAGGCUUGACACCGUUCAUGGUGACCUUUCUCUCUUUGGCCAUGUCCCUGACCUUUCUCCAUUUGGCUUCUUGAUUCAGAAGAGUCACUGGCCACACAUACACACACACACACACACACACAGACACACACACACACACACACACACACACACACACACACACACAGAGCUGAAUAGUGGACCUCAAAGACCAAUUGUCUCUGAAAUAUAUAAACCUAUAGGAAGGAGUUGUUUUGAGUUACGUAAAUGCUACUGGGUGGGAAAGGAAUGAGUGAUUUUCUUUUUAAUUGCAUAUGGUGAAACCAUGACACCUGGGCAAAAGUGAUUUCAAAACAAUUAGCUCUGUAUAAAAUAAAUGUGCCCUGUCUGAGGCACCACAAUACAGGCUUUUUCUGGGUUCUCCCACCAGAAGCAUGCACGAGUGUACAUAUCACACAUGUGCAUGUGCAUGUACUUAUGUGAACCUGUGGGUAAGCAUGCAUGUCUGUUCAUGCCCGCGGAUGUGUGAGUGUGAAGUAGGGGUGCACUCAUGCGCACAGGGAAAGCAGCCAGAGGGAGAGGAAGGAGUUAUCAGAGAACCUGUAUGAGGCUAUCUCUGGGACUUCUCAGGUUAUCCCGGCAAGGCACUACCACCUGGAGAGAAAGAUGGGCGUGGUUUGGUAGGCUUUUGCUUUCUUGUUCCAUACCAACCCUUUGAAAAUGCAGCCAGAGCACUGAAGCAUCAAGGUUUACCACAAGCAGGCGUCUUCUUACCCAGGCCGGCACACUAAUGGGAUCUGGGAGCAUGCCACAGGAGUCUACUGCUGUUGUCUUGUGUGCCGCGUUGGCGUUGAUGCCAGCUCCUCCAGAUGUGCCUGAUAUCUCUGUGCCUGAACGCUGACCCGUCCAUUUAGCUGCAUUCAGCUGUCUCGUCCUUUCUGGUUCUUUUAAUGUGGAAGUGCACUGCAGCCUUUGUCUUUUCUGACGUUGACAGUCUUGACAGUGACAGACAGACUAUUCGGCUGUGCUGAGUGCUUUUCAAACGUUGCGCCAAUCAGCAACAAACAGCUCUGAGUCUAGCACACAGGAUAUGCUGACUUCAUGUAGCUGGGAUGACAGGGACCCCGUGGACGGUGGCCUGGACCCUCCUCCCUUGCUUUGAGAACUCCCAUCCCCGUGGGACUUUGUAGGUGCCAAGGGACAGGUGAAACAGGCUUAAGUGCCCCUCUGGCCCUUGGGGACACUUGAGUUUAUAUCAGUUGCCCACUUUCCAUGAAUACUUACUUUUUCAUUUCUGCAGUCAAGCCUCUCCCAGUACUAAUGAGAAUUAAUUGGAAUGUUAUAAGUGAAAGUCUUUAGUAAACUAUAGCAAAGUGCUAGACAGAUGCAAUAUAUUAUUAUUUAUUAUUAAUAUGCCAGCCAGGCAGCCUGAAGCUACAACAGCAUAGUGAAAUUGAGAAAAAAUAAUUUUUUUUUGAAAUCCAGAGAGUGGGGCUAUCCAGACAGGAAUGCUGAAUACGCAGCCCUACCCAGGGCCUCCAUCAGGGCCCCUCCUGUGUCACCUCCACUGCGCUGUCAUACUGACAUCUGUGAAGGGCCACCCUGCUCUGAGAACCAAAUGGCAUUCUCUUGACACUCCUGAGCACUGAGCUGUCACCAGUGAGGGACAGAGAUUGUUUCAGGGAGAGCAGGUUAUUCAUGCAGAGUUACAUAGUCAGGAUGGGUUUGAGCCAAGAUGCAUGUUUGCGGUGUCUUUUGAGGGGCAGAGGCGGGCUGGAGCUGUGUCAGUUUGCUCUUCCCGAGCCACCCUUGGUACCCCGUGACAUACAAAGGCCUGACAUGGAAUUGGUCAGCAGGUCCUACUCUACUGUCACAGAUCUGCCGAUGUGCAAGCUAUCCACUCUCUUUCAGCAGGCCCUCAGUUGUCCAUUGAUAUGCAAAUGCAUGCUAAUAAACUUUGCUGUUACACUUGGUGACCUCAGUUUUAUUUAUCUAUUGACUUGGUCUGAAGGACUCUCUAAGGAAUUCACAAGCAUCAACUUUCUCUGGGGACUCUGGGCCAGGCACUCUCAGGCCAAGGAUUGGAGGGCAGCUGAGAGCCCAGAUGCCUUCGUCUUUGGACAUCCUUCUUUGGAGCAUCCAGUUUCUCCAGGUCCGGACAGACUGUCUGAUCUUUCUGUGGUGGAUGACCAAGCUCUCUAGCUCUGUAAACCUAAGUGGUAUCAGCCAGUGGGGCAGCGUCUGGAGCCCCCUCGUUACCCUUCCAGGCUAGAAGGAGCCAGAAGGCACAUACGAUUUAGGAGGAAAGAUCUUCUGCAUCUCCUUGAUGCAACACACAGAGAGGAAAGUGACCUGCCAGUGACCCUCUCAGUGCUGGGUAACCAUCCCAGAAUCCAGGAAGCACUGGCAGAAACCUGGAUCUCUAUGUGGAUUUAUUUCAGAGUUUUCAGGCACAGCAUUGUCCAAAACCUCUGCCCACCCCCCCCCCCCCGCCCCAAGACUCUCCGCCCUAUCUUUCUUCUGCUAUACCCUCCUUUUCCCUCCUUGUUUUCCUUUCUAUGGAUUUAUUUAUUUAUUUAUUUAUUUAUUUAUUUAUUUAUGGAAGGGGGUUGUCAUGAGUUCUGUGGGCCUUCUGUCUGUGACCUUGCAUCCCCGGACUUAUAACUAACUCUGGACUUAAACGGGGGUUUAAGCAGGAGUGAGGUGGGCCAACUCAAUCAGGAGACUCUGGCAAGAUUGGGUGGCAAGAACCCAGAAUACCUUUCACCAAGACCCAUUUUUAUGAGUUCGGCUUCCUCAGACAGUCUUCCCCAUACUCGCUACCUCUCUCGUGUUACAAGGUUGCUUUUGCAAUGGAAGCCGUCCUUUCGGAAAGUGCUUAAGGAGAACAGACUCCCCUGGACCUCCGCUGGUGCUCCUCUAUGACCUGCUCACAAAGGGAAGUCAGCCCCAUCCUUCCCUGUUCAGGCAACAGCCUUCUCUCUUGCCCCACGUUUCCUCCUGCCCCCAACCUGCUCCUCUUACAUCCUGGAUGCAGAUAUUCAGUUGCUCACACUCCAAGUCAGAAGGUCAAGUGUUGUGCAUGAAGGGUGAACAGAGCAAGGAAAGAAAAGCAGGGUAGAUUUGAAAAUCCAGAUCAAAUACCGCGAAGGGCUUUUCUCUUGCCCGUGGGAUCCGAUCAGUCAGUGGCUUCCCAAGUAAUUGACUGAGUAGUCCAGGACUGGGAUCGAUUAAUCAUGCCUGCCUUGGCAAAGACAGAGAAGUGCUAGGGUUUUUUGUUUUUGUUUUUGUUUUUGCUUGCUUUCCAAUGGUGGUUCCACAGGGAGCUAUGGUCCACACAAGUCUGUGAUUGUGCAGUUCUGCCUGCUAUUUGUUUCCCAUUCCUCCCAUGCCCGUCUGACAGCAUUAGGGCCGUACGUUUCUUUACAAAGGUAGCAUGAGAAAGUGUAAAAAACACACUCUCGUCAGUGCUAUUCUAAACCUCCAACAUGUAAACUAGUGGGUCCCUGCAUACACGUAAAGACCCUGCGACUUUCAGGGUGGUGCCUCUAAUCUUCUUGGGGCAAGCUUGUGUGGGAGAAACACAAAUGGAGUUUUAGGAGGAAAAAAAAUAAUAAAAGAAAUGCGGGUGUUGAAUUGGGAGAGGUAUAGUGUCAGGUUUUGGCCAACUAUCUCUCUUUUUAACAAAGUCAUGGGAAGGUGACUCCAUGGAUUAGGAUUCUCUGGGCAAAGCGGCUUGAGAAAGGCCUAUAUUUUAUAGCAAGAUUCGGCGGCGGCAGAUUUUAUCGAGCAUCCGUAAAUCCCUCCUGGACAGGGGAGGAUGAAGCUCUCUGGGUGAGCCGUGAACCCAGGCUGAGACAGCCCUGGGGGCCCUGAUCCCCCCAUCCCUCUCUGCUAUUUACAUCCCUGUCUGCUGCAGCGUCCCCUCGCCUCCCUCUCCCGUGGCGGUGGCAGUGGGCUGCUCGUAAAAUUGACUUUGAGGAUUUCACUGAAAUGAAUUGGAAAGCUACCAGAUUUGGGUUGUUGAAGAAAAAUAGGAGUCCCUAAGGACAGGGACUCUGCGGACUUUUGUUUAGAUUCACAUGCUUCCCCGACCAGCACCAGCUGCCCCUCCCCCCCCCCCCAGGGGUCUGUCUUUCUGUCUAUGUGAUAUAUAUGUGUGUGUGUGUAAAUAUAUAUAUACUAUAUUUGUCUCUUUAGGUAGAUGUUUUUUGCUGUAUGUUUCUGUCUAUCUGUGUCUUCUUUCUUGUCCUGGCUACUCUGGCUGUAGAAUCAAAAUAAACGUAUACAAAUAGGCCGAGUUCACUCUGCUGCAUUCCAGAUUAGAGUUCUAAAAGGCUCCAGGUAUAGACACAAAAGCUACAAUCGUACAGAUACUUCUGACCCACACUGGAUUCCAGUGGAUGGAUCAACGGAGCCCUCUCUCCCCAGCACAGAGGCAUGAGGUCAAGCCUCCCGUGGCUGGGCAGUGUGCUGAUCACUACUGCUACCCUCGACUGUUGUUAUCUGUAUGGAACAGUCUGCGCAGCCUCUGUUUGCACCUCUCUCCCCCAUGGCUGUUGUAGCAACCAUUCCUAGACUUUCUUAAGUAAAAUAGCCACUGUCAUUUCAGGCCUCUUAGGGCAUUCUGUAAACUACAAUGCACCAAAAUGGGAGUCUCCUCUUCGGCAUAGCCCUUCUUUCUGCGACCUCUCUGUUACUAAGCCCUAGCUGGUAGAAGGGCUCCCUCCAUCCUCCCUGCUUCUGCACCUACGGCACAGAAGUGCGCCCUCUAGUGGAGACAAAGGACUCUGCAAGUCCUUUAACACAAAAAUAGCCGCCCAGGCAAGAACUGUCUUCCUUUUGAUGCCACAGAUGAUAGUGUCCUUUUAAGCCCACGUUGAGAAUACCCUGCUCCAGUUUGCUUAGUGUCUGCAAGUGAAAGAUACUUAAAUUCAUUUAAUCUCUGCCAGCCAGAUCUGAAGCCUGUCUUUCAGAAGGCUCCCUUCCAGCUCUUUAGCCUUUGGUCUGGGGUCCCUUCUUUCAACUAACUGAAAGAUAAACCCAGCAUCAACUGGGUCACAGGAGCUGUGCUCUGUGCCCACAAACAAGAAAACGUACCUAUGGGAUGUUCUAGAAUUCUAAUAGUGCAAAUUCCAUCCUAUCUUCAUUGUAAGGUGUGUGUGUGUGUGUGUGUGUGUGGUUGUUGUUGUUGCUGUUAUUGUUGUUUUAUUUCACCUAUACCUGUCCUCUGAGAUCACAGCUUCCUUUCCCAACUGCAAAGCUAGCCUAGAGUCUGUUUGUGCUAUUCCUAAGCAAAAGAAUGCUCGCAAAGUGUCUGUGAGUGGAUCACCACUCUUUGGACAGGAGUAGCUCCCCACCUUCUUUGUUCCAUAAAUUGAGGCAAGAAAGAAACCCAGAAUGUGUUCAUCACACAAGCUACUUCAGUGGGGAGCCCACAGCAGGGAACCCACGCUUAGAGCAAAAGGAUGAUGGAAAGUGACCUAUCCUCCAAGAUGAGCACACAAGUCUCCCAUCCAGGAGACAUAGAGGAUGUAAAAAAAAAAAAUGGGUCCCAGAAAAAUACAGAUGAGAUAGGUCCCCACUGAGUGUACACUGGAGGUACCGUGGAGACGCACACACUGGGCUGGUGGCCUUGAGUUUUGUACGGAGUGAUGGGUUUAUAGUUGCAGAAAUAGACUCCAGGUGUGUCUGGGGUUCAUCCUGUCAAAACGUUCAUGGCAAACUGCCCUGGGGAUGCUUGGAACAUGAAGCCACAAAUCCUGUCGUUAUUGCUAUGGAGAGGGUGUGGAUGGCUCCUCUGCAGGUGGCCUGACCCGGAGCCAGCAUCGGUGCUCCCAUUUUCAGAAAUCACACAGUUUUAGCAGAGAGCAGGCAGCUGGAUGUUAGUGACAAAGAUCCCCUGGGAGAAUGGCUGGGAUCUCCGUUGCAGACUGAGUUCCGUAAAUGUGCCCUCCCCUGCUCCUCCUACUGCCAUGGUGGUGGUGGUGAGAAGAAAGUUGGCUGGCAGAGGUGACGGUGGGGUGGGUGGGGUAAGAGGGUGAGGGAUGGAGUUUAGCGCAGGCGCUGAAGGAUGGAAGGCAGCAGCAAGAGGCUCUAGUGAUGGGACCAAAUUCUCUUUUUUCACGUUUCCCGGAGCUGGGUUCUUAAAACUCCAUCACUCGCUGGCCUGGCCAUGUGGGAGAUGAUUAGGGUUAGCCUCAUUCAAUUUCGCUUCCUCCACUAGUAAUAUUGAGAUCUUUAUCUCCUAAUAUGUUGGGAAGCAUUCCGGGAGGUCAGAUACAUGGCCGGUGGAACACAGCACACAGAGAGAAGCUUAGCCGCCAGUGCCACAAUAGCAAAUGUGCGUGCACACGGCUGACCGGAGCAAUCCUGGGAGGAUCUUUCUGGCUGAGUGACAAAUGACAUCCCAGAGAUUAUAAAGCUUGACCCUGGACACAGCAAGGUGGCUUCUGCAGGCAACAGAGCCAAUGCCAUCCCUGUUCUCCCCACCCCUGGCUGCAAAGCCCUUUCUCAGCAGCCGCCACCGCCACGGUGCUGGCAACAUUGUACUUUUGAUGCCUCCAGAACCUGGUCAUAGCUCCCAAGGAGUUCCAAGAACCAUAGGAAAGGGAGAGGAGGGCUGGCUGUAAUUGCGGUGUACACCCCUCCCCCCCAGCUUCCUUCUGGCACACAGAUUUUUAGCUCUGAAUAUACACUCCCCAGCGAUUCAGUUCUGAGCCCUGCAUCUGGCUCCCGGAACAAACACGCCUGUGAUAUGGGAUCAGCAGCCAUUGGCAGGCCAGACUCAGACCUUCACACGCGGGUCCUGAGAGUAUUCAUGGUGCAACAAGGACAGCUCAGCCAACAGCACCAGGAUGGGUGUGACUGCUGAGAAUAUUGUUGGGUUAGUCAGCUGACACCACCUGUAGCUGCCAGAGCUAGACAAUUGCUGUGCUGUUUCUCUUGCUAGUCACCAGUCUCUGGGCUCUGCUCUUGCGCUCCCCUGGUCAUGCACCUCUUUGGUAUCAUGCUCACACCCACAAACGCCUUUACACUUGCUGGUCUCCUUGUGAUGUUCCAUGUCCUAACAGCAAGAUAAUUUCUUCCUUGUAGCUCACAGGCUUAUCACCAAUUGUCCCUUAUCAGAAAUGUCUUCCACUCUCCACGUGUAGAGGAAACUACAUGAUGUCCCAUCUCUCUCCUUGAUUUACUGUCUUUUCCUUGGCAUAUACAGUACCUAGCACAUUAUACAUUUACUUGUUUUUAUCUGUUUAGUGUAAUCCCACUCAACACAUACAUAAGUUCCAGACAGAGUUAAUUUCAUCUAGAAUAUAGAGGAUUGGCACAGAGAAAACCCUCAAUGCAAGCAUUUUUAAUCUAGUCACAGCAUCAGGAGUAACAGGUCUGCUUUGUGGCCAUCUGUUGUGACUCUGGAUCAGCACGUCUGUCUGUGUCUGGCUCCCAAUAGUUUAUCAUAGCCAGGGAAAGGGCCAAGUAAGAUGCUUCUUAGCCAGUAGUGGAUGGGAACUUUGGGCCACAGAGACGCCCCAGGCCUUGCUUGUGUCUUAUCAGGAAUUCUUUGUCCCCUUUGUACACAUACAAGAACCCAACCCCACUUGGGUACAACCUCAAGGCUGGCCUGGAGCUGUGAAUGAAAAUGGGGUCAAUUUUAAAAAAGAACUCCUUUGAUGUUUUCAAAGGUAUGGAAUCAUUUCUAUCCUCUUUGGAGAACCACUUAGCUGUGUGUUGGAGGUUGGGGAAGGUUCCAAGUGCCAGAGAAGCUAAUUAGAGACAAUUACAGCCCAGGUACACCUGCCCCUGUAGGACGGUAGGAUGCAGAAACCAGCAGGCUGAGUGGUGGUUGGGUCAGAGGGUGUCGGAGGUGGAGCCAGGGCCAGAAGGCAUUUUAUAGCUCGAGAGGACAACCAGAUGCUUGGCCAGUACGGACUCGGCCUGAGGAGGGUGUGUUCCUUCUGUGGGCAUCUAUUGGGACAGGCAUUACCUCUGGCAUUGCUUUAAACAAUAAUUUUCUUAGGUCAAAAUUUCAAGAGGAGUGAAAAUUGUAACUGGGUGAAACAUGACGCCAUGUGAAUAAGGGUAUGCCUGUGGUCAGAUGCUAAUCUUGGUGCAUUGUUGAUCCACUAGGAAUACAUAUACAGAUAGUGUGUGUAGGGGUGUGUGUGUUCUGCCUUCCUCAGGCCCCCUUCUUAUUUAUUCCAAGCGUUUUAAUAUAGCACCUUGCCCUCUUUCAACUUGGGUUUCUGGGAAGGGGACAAAGGCCAGCUCCAUCCCCUUAGUGACCUUAUGAGGGUUACACAGAGCCUAAGGUUUGCAUCCUGCUGUGAUUGUUAACUUUCAGCGUCUGGACUGAAAAGAUGCUUGCUCUCAGGACCAGCACCCAGACAGCGACUGGCCUUUGUUACACAUUCUCUGUAAUCGAAAUGUCCCUCUGUGCCUCUCUGCUUCCUGGGUGUGGCAGCAUCCUGCACAGAGCCUGACUUGAAUGAGUAAAUGCUAACCAGCACUGGGAUGAGUCUUGGGGCUGCAUGGCUGUGGGUGAGAACUCAAAGAUGAAUAGGUAAGGAACUUUAUUAAAGGUCGGGGCCACUGGAAGAGAGGGACCAAAGGCCACAGGGAAGACAUGGCCUUCAGGCUGUGAUAUCUUGCCCUUUCCUUUGCCGCUGAUUCAUGGGUGGUCCUCAGGUCCCUGCACGUCCUCCAUUCCCCUACAGAUUUCCAUGUGGUGCCAAAUGCACUCUAGCAAAGCAAUCAAGUGAACAUAUCUUUAAAAGAAAACUCAUUUACUAAGCAGGCCUCUGGAGUACUUGAUGGAAUAGCCCUCCUCUGGAUGGAAAUAGUGGUGUAAUGGCCUCCCCGGGGUUAUUAUUGCACUGACAUUACAGCAGGCUAAUAAACCCCAGAGGGGUGCGAUGCAUACUGCCAGGCGGUCUCACAUCUGGAUAAGGGAGUCUGCAGAUGCAGGCCUCCAACCUUGCCUGCAGAUCCUCAGAUUUGUCACUAGAGGGCACCCUUACCCCCCUGUAGGGAAGACACUGCCUAGGAUGAAAGCCCAACUCCUUAAAAUGAAAAUGAGGGUUCUCAGACAGACAGGCAGGCAGACAGGCAGGCAAUCAGGGAAAGCAGCUUCCCUUUUCCUCUUGGUACCCGGGCUACAUUUGUAAAAUGAUUUGCAAAGCAGAGUUGGACAGAGGGGCGCAGCUCAGAUCACUAAGUCAGAAACCAGCAUGUAGGUGAUUCUUCUUAAAAGUCCUAGAUCAAUGCUUUCAGAUCCCAUCAGAUGUGUCGUUUUCUCUGUUGGAGAAGUCUGAGAGUUGAGCUCUAAAUUGGCGAAGGCAACACCGGUGGUCCUAGCACCUCUCUUCCACCGGUUUCUCUGGGGCUAUGCUGCAGGGCUGUGUAGGAGUUCCAUGCUCCUUGUCUUUCUGGAGUUUUCCCAUAGUUUUCAGGAGGGCUCAGUUCAUGCUGUGAAAGAAAUGUGGGUGGGUGCAGGUGAUACUUGUAGGGGGAUAUCAGCUUCUCCCUGGGUUUGGAGAUCCAAGUUGUUUGUCUCCCUGUCAGACCAAAUGGCUGCAUUCUGAAUUGAAACAUGGCCGCCAGUGUCAAGGGGCAGUACUCGGAUCUAAAGGACUGAGCAAAGAUUUUCUUGGGACAUCUAAACCACUGUCCUGUUCUGCAACAUACACUUUUAGUUGGUUCACUAUUUGAGUUUUAAAAUGAAUUUAGUUAGUUUUCGUUUUACACCAGCCUUGUCUUUGCUUAAAAACAAACCCUGGCCGAUGAAUUAGAUGUUUGCUGAACCAAGUCCCCAGCAGAGGAAGGGAGGGCAUACCAGUGAGGCUGUUCUACCCUGAACUAUUUAUGCUGCAUUUGAGAAGUGAGCUUUCCUUUCUCAUAUGGAUCUAGGUCAUAGUGAAAGGUAGGAAAUGAGUGGCCUCCAUUACCAGGUGCAGACACAGGCGGCUGGGGACUUUGCACUGGCCCUGUGUAGUUUGAGCCCUGAGAAACACAGCCAUCUCUAAAGUCUUGGAUGGUUAAGGAUCCCAGAGAAGGCACAGGGCGUUGGGAAAUGGUGGACCCAGAAUUUGUAGCCUUUCUAAUUCUAGCACGGGACAGUUAUUCUGUUAGCCUAAGUCUCGUGGUUUUUAAUUCAAAGACCAGCUCAGCUCUUGGGAGAGACUUCUAAGAUUUAUCUCGUAGAAUUCAAUUUCCCUGCAAAUGUUGCUUUUGCCCUUCAUCCCCCUGAAGGCACACGUUCCCUGACAGAUCUGAACACACUUGAGGUGACAGCCACCAGGAGGAGCAGGCCUCCAGAGGGAUUGGUUGGCUAAUGCCUCAGGCCAGGGGCAUUUGGGCCUUGCCUUAGUUUUCUUCUCUUUUGCUAAGCCACAAGCUAAGGCUCCUUCACGGCUCUGCCUCCAUGAUGAAGCACCCCAUUUGGAAAACAUCUCUGUUUCUAGAGGCACCAUGGGCAUCUACUUCCAGGCUUCUCCCCAUCAUCUUAUUACAGUGAUGUUCUGCCUGCCACAGAGGUGAGAAUGAGAGAGGGGCAACGUGGGAGAAAUAGAAAAGUCAUUAGACUUGCCAGCACCUUAUGCUCUGGCUUUCCUUCAGAUCACAAAAUCUAACAGAGUGAAACUAAAAAUAGCUCUGGGCUACUGACAGCCUGGUCCGUGCAGGCUCAUGUGCUAUGAACCUGACUCUGUCUUUCACGGCCCCCUCAUCGGUCUUCUAAGUAGAUGACAUUCUUGCUCCAUUUUGCUGAUGUGGAAACUGAGGCAUAGACAGAGAAGUUGGUUUGUUCCUAGACAUCCUUCAACAGAUCAGGGCUGCAUGGAUAAGCUGUAACCACUUCUCUUGGCUGGGUGCAAUGUCAGAACCCACUAGACUGCUCCAAUAUGGCCCAGAAGAUGGAUGGUACCUUGGCACAGGAUCAGGUCCCAUUGUGUUCCCAGUGCCUAGAGAGAUAAAGGAAAUCCACUCUACUGCUUCUUAGUGGUCAAUGAUGACAUAUGAGAAGCCAAGGCAGACAAUUUAAGGUCAACAAGGGUGACACGAACUCGGGGUUUUCUGUGCCCCACACAUUUGUCCCACCAUCCCUUCCCCCAGCCCAGGCAUGUGGGAAGACUAAGUGCCUGAGUCAAGGCUACACCACCUUUCUCAUGGUAGCUGGCACUCUGCCCUAGGUUACCCCUUCCCACACUUACCAUCUGCCAGCUCUCCAGAGAAACUUUGUAAUAAAAGAGAUUUUUCAGAUUUAGUAGAAAAAUAUCAUCUUUUGGUCACAUGUCUAUUUCCCAGGACAGAUAGAUUUUCAUUUCCAUUUAUACAUUUGUCACUCUGCUUUGCAUACAACGAUCCUGCACUCUGGCACUACGCUGUUUGUAGUCAAUGCCGGCAGAGGCGAUAUCCACCUGUGAGUCCUGUGAGUUAGACUCUGCUGAUGCUGUUUUACAAUGAGAGGGCGUGUUCAGAAAGUGGGGCCAUCAUAUGUCUUUUCUCUGAGUGUAUUCCAGGGCCUUUGUGUUUGUAGAACUUGACAGAGGAGCACCCAGAGCUCCCCAAAGAGGCCUUGAUUCUGGGUGGUUAGAGAAGUUGGAAAGAGAGGCUCCCUGGUGGAGUUAACACAAACACACACACACCAUCUGAGCUAUAAAGAAAAUUCUGCAAGUUCUAGAAGUCCAGGGUAGCGUCUUUUCAGAGGGAUGCAGAGAAGUGUGUCCCUGAAAAGAUCAGAAUGACACACAGCAACCCCGGAGGAGCUGCCAGACAAAGAUCAGUUGCCAUCCACCUGGUAGAGGAAGUCUGACCCACAGCUGGUCUGCAUAACCCCUUGCAUGCAUUUCCGCUAGGGUGGCCCUCGGGGACGCCUGUAUCCAGAAAUACAGAAGUAAAAACCAUGCAACCAGACACUGUCUUGUGGGGGAAAAGGAAAAAAUGCUCUACUCAACAGGCCGUGAGAAACAUGGCAUAUUCGGACUAGAGGCCCCCGAGGGUGAGGAGACAGUGUGGUUCCAGAAGAGGCCAGGCUGUGUGCUAAGGGAAGCCUUGCUCCAAAUAUCCUGGGAGCAAAACAGUCUGCUCUCCACUCAGAGUCCUAGGAGAGCAACACUACAACACCAGAUGGUCUGAGAACAGGGACCCAAAACAGGGGGGGUUGUGUCUCAGUAUCCCCAGCUGAGGCAGAGGAGAGGGGAGGUAAUGGCCUGAGCCAGAGUUUCAGAUGACACUCUGAAGAAUGCAUGACACAGCAUGAACUCAUAAAGUUCAGGAAGUAUUGUCAGCAUGGGAGCCUCCCAGUGUGACUGCAGCAGCUGGCCUCUUCCAGUAUAAGCCAGCACAGAAAGGCACACAGGCACACACAUGCACACAUACACGCACAUGCCCAUAUGCAGGAACCCAUAGUCACACACACACACACACACACACACACACACACACACACACACACACAAGUGCAUGUGCACACACACAUAUACACACCGUCUCAUACACAUACAUGCAUAAACAGACACACAGAUAUACACACAGUCAUCCACCCAUAUGCACAUACCUACAGUCACAUAUGUGCACACACACACAUGUACACACAGUCUCACACACGUACACGCACACAUGCACAAGCGCACACUGCCAUGGGAUAAAUCAGAUACAGGGGUUUUCAACAAGUGUGGAAGAAAGGCAGGGGUCCAGGGUCCAGAAGAUGGUUCCUGACACAGCUGCUUCCGUUGGGUACGGGGUAUAGGCAUGGUGUCCCAAGAGGCCUCUCAGCGUUUCUCUGUGAUUCAGUGGCCACCCUGAGCUCAUUUUCAGCUUGACAAGAUCAAGCUUAUUCAGGGAGCUGUCGGAACCCUACCCUACACCUCCCACCCCCUUGCACAGCCCCUGCUGCAGGGUAGGCCGACCUCACCACCGAGUUAUGUCUUAGGGAAGCCGCCAAUGCUAUCUAUCUCUCAGUACUCGGGAAACAAAUAGGAAUAAAGCAAGGAUAGCAGUAGCUCUUUGUAUAAAAAAUUGAAGACCAUAAAAUGUCAAGUCAGGGGGCUGGAGCCACCCAGGCAGCCCCAUGGGCACAUGGCUGCUGUCACAGAGAUUGUAUGGAGGUAAAGAGUGUCCUAGACAGGAUUAGAAAAGCAACCCCUACAGGGCACCUCACUGUCCUCUGGCCUCCAUUCUGGACCCCUAACCUACCCCCAGGAUUUCCUUUGAACCCUUUUUUCUCAGAGCUUCACAGUAAAAGUUGACUCCUUAUAGCCCUCAGAAUAAUGUUAUGGCCCAUUAAAGAAACACACACACACACACACACACACAGAGAGAGACAGAGACAGAGACAGAGACAGAGAGACAGAGACAGAGAGAGACAGAGAGACAGAAUCAGAGAGACAGAGACAGACAGAGACAGAGACACAGAGACCGAAACAGAGAAGAAAAACAGGAAAAGAAAGUUUGCCUCCUGCUUAGCAUCAGGGCACAGAGUACCUUCCCAAGGAUUGAAAAAUAAGUGUAGAGAACUGGGCUGAAAAUCAGUAAGCCAAAUCACUGUCCCUCCAUAAGAUCCUUCAGAACUGAGCGAGGAUGGGGGAAUGAAAGGGUUAAUACGGCAUGCUGGGAGUGGAUUAAGGAUUUCAGGAAGAGAUCAAGGGCAAUGGCUCUGAGCAUCCAGGGCCAGUAUGAGAUGUUUCGGCCAAGAAAUAGCAUGCCAGGGCAUUAGCUGAAUUUAGUUGGGAUUCUGGGUUUUGUACUGUCGCUAAUGAAUCUGUGUGAGUAUUUAUAAUGGGACUGUCAGAGCCACCGCCAGCCAAGACAAAUCAUUAUAAGUCAUCAUGGGCAGACCUGAGAGAGAGAUGGAGUGGGGAGGCGGGCCUGGGUAUUUGACCUUUCUCGGGGAGUUCCCUUGAGCCUGGCCUUUCAGGGGUGUCAGAGGUAGAUAGGAGGAACUGAACAGGAAUCAGGGAGCUCAGAGGUCCACAGCCUGGGUCAGCAAGGCUGAGGGGCACGGGGAUAUUCAGAGGAUCACUUUCUGUGUUCUCAGUUGUGCUGUCUCAAUGAGAGAUGGAGAGAAAAAAAUUUCUCCUGCUGAAAAAUGUCACCUUCAACCUGACACUGGAGCCAGAGCAUUUACAAAUCUGCCUGUCACCCCGACAGCCUGACAGAUAGCAACCUUAGCCGGGACUGAGUUAAAUCGCCACUAUACGUCUUGCAAAAAGUUUGCUCUCUUAAGAUUUUUAUCAUGGAGACAGGUUAAGGGAUGAGGGGCAUGGCUCCCAACAGGAAGGAUACUGGGGCUGUGCGCCUGUCUUCCCCGGAGCCCUGGCAGCUGCAGGAUUAUCUAUUACCUGAGGGGAGGUGACAGAAGAAAAUUACCCAGCCCCAGCCCCAUCUGUUGCUGAACACCGUUUAUUUCACCUUCACUAAUUCACUCGACGUGCCGCUUUCCCUUUGUCUCCGUGUCACCCACCCAAAUCUUACAUGUCUACGCUCCCGUGUUGCCAGCUGGACAUCGCAGCUGUGGGAACAAAGCCUUUGGGUCCCUCCAGUGAGCUGCAGCCCCUCUUGGGUGUCUCCUCUCCUCUCUGAAUUGUCAUUUCUCCCAUAACUGAUUAGGGACCGAAGGCAAGACGGGAGAAGCUAGGAUGAUUGCUUUUACAGCUCGGCUCUGCAGGUAGAGCACAUUUCUGUGUUUGGCUUCGUCUCCAGGGACGCGCCUCUCUUAGGAAGAGGUGGGAGAGUAUUAAUGAAAGAUAGCAGACCUGUGUUGCUGUGAGAGCAGCUGUAGACACUGGGCUCACUCUCUGGCAUUCAUAUUAUCCUCAGGUGCUUGGUCAUUGGUCACCGCCCAACUUCCGGUUUCUCAUACUGAGAGUAGAUCCACCGCCUGCCCUCAUCUCAGCUCCUGGGACUCGUGUAAUGAUUAAAUGAGAUAGUAUUGCAUUUCAGUGAAUAAUGCAGCAGCCGGCUCAUCGAAAGAGAGAAUAAAAAUAUCUUUCUGGUGGCUUGCUUAUAAUAAAUCUAUUAUGAUCGCUCACGGGAGUCACUGUUAUCAUUGAGCAAAUAAAAGCGAUCGCGAUUACCUUUCCCCCUUGGAGCAGCUGCCAUUUUUCAAGGUCUUGGCUACCUAGGAUUCUCAUACAACAUUUAUUGAGUUGGUUCUCUAUUUUAGCACAGCACCUUGUCUUAGAACUGAGAGAUUUGCAAACCGCAAAUGAAGUGCGAUUUCUGGGUCAGGGAGCACAUGGUCUGGUGGGGAAGCCCGCUGCAGAGUAGAAAGCCGGGGCCUUAGGCCUGUGCUGAAAAUGGACUAGGAGAGGGAGUUGUCGCACAAGGUCCUCAAUGAAAAAAAUGACGUGAGCUGGGUUGUACGCUUCUAUGAGGAAAGAGCCUUCGGUGGGGAGAAGCCGGGAACUCAUUGAAUACACAUAGCAAGACAGUGGGAGGAAGCCUAGGAGAACUGCAGAGCCCAGAGACCUCCGGAGAGCUGGGGGGCCUCAGGAAGGCUACAGGAUCGAAAGCAGCCUGGCCAAUCCACCCAAGGACACAGGCAGGGCUCAGAGUGAAGGAUGUGGUCAGAGGAGACUUCACAGACGAUCAUAUUUUAUUUUGUGCCAAGGACCCAGAGAUUCCCUGGAGGACAGUGAAAAUCAUUAAAGGGUUUUAAGCAAGAAUGAUAGGAUCAACUCCGCUGAGACGAUAGCUCAGGGCUGGAUGGGACGUGCAUAGAGAAACAAGGCCAGUUGACAAUAGAGAGGUCCAGAGCCUUAGGGGAGGAAGAGAAAGACAAAUUUUAUUUUUCUUGGUUUGCGGGCAAUUAGCUCCCAGGCCCAGCUCCCUACAGAUACCAACGUCCUCGGAUGCUCAAGUUUCAUAUCUGAAUAAGUAUCCGUGCAUAUAAUUUAAAUCAGUGGUUCAUGACCUUUUCCCAGGAGUGGCAUAUCAGAUGUCUUGUGUAUCAGAGAUUUACAUUACAAUUCAUAAUCGUAUCAAAAUUACAGUUAUGGAGUAGCAACAAAAAUAAUUCCAUGAUUGGGAGUCAACAGAACAUGUAGAAGUGUAGUAAAGGGUCACAGCAUCAGGAGGGUUGAAAAACACUGCUCUAAAUCAGCCCUGUUUUACUUAAAAUACGCAGCGCAAAAUAAUCGUUAUGUACUUAAGCUAUUUUGUUUACAGAAUAACGACGUGGGGAAAUACACAUGUUCCGUGUUGAUAUAAUUUUUGAUAUACUUUCAAACUGUGGCCACAUGAAGUCACAUACUCUGAGCUCAUGAAUCCAGGGGGAAGGUUAUACCUGACGAUAAACUUGCUUAGUGCUGAGAGCAAGGGGGCGGGGGCGGGGGAACACCCAGACUAGAGCCAGCCUGGCGCAGUCAUGAAAUUGCAAGCGGUCGCCACCAGAGGGCAGUAAGAGAAGAGCUGAGAUCAGUUCCACCAGACAAGUGGAAGGCAGAACGGCUGAUUUAAAAAAAUGCAGGCUCUUAAUCUGACGCCCCCUAAAAACUGUUCUCAGCCAUAGUUAGUCCAAGGAUUUUAGUGGUAUCCCUCACAUGCCACCAAUAAAACUCUCUAUAGCAAGAUCUGUGCUGGGCUUCCAUAAGAAGUUUUAUCUAGGCUGGCCACUCAUGUGUGGUUUAGUGGCUAUGUUAUUGUAGUUGCCUUGUGAGGAAGUGCUGGAGAUCGAAGAGACAGCUCAGUAAGACUUUGUGAAAUAUGGCUUUAUAAGAAACCUUUUGUGCACAUGUGUGCCCAGUCUACCAUCUCACCGUAGGCAGCACCAUGGAAAUGCAGUUCACAGGAGUUAGGUGCCUUGCCACAUGAUGACUGAGUUGGCAUUGGUGCAUGAGCAAGAGAUCUUUUGACUAUUGCUCACCAAACCGUCUCCAUCUCCCUUGUACUUUAAAGUGGGGCGUUCAUCCCACGGGCAGCAAAUCUGGGAAUAUUGAGUGUGUAUGGGAAGCCAGGCUUGUACUUAUUUAUAGAACCACAGAGGCCAGCACAAACCCCAGGUCAGAUGUAGAACACAAAAGCGCUGGUGGUAACUGAGGUGUUUGCAUGGGUGUGGACCUCUUGACCCUUCAGAUGCCCUCACAAGUUUGACUGUUAUCCCAAUUGCAAAUGAGGAAGCCCUUUCAGACAGGUUGGCUCCCUCCCUCCUCACAGCUGCAAAGCUGCUUCCCAGGACCUUACUGCCCCACUCCUGCCCUGAGGUCAGUGGGAGCCAUGAUAUAUGUGCUCAGUGCAACAGGAGGGUUGAAGUUCAUGAGAAACGCUGAAUUGUGUCCCAGAGACAUCAACCUCAAAUUGAUCCGAUAAGAGACUAGUUUUUCCAACAGAAAAAUCUUGUUGAUACAAUAAAGUCUGUGAUAUUCCAGAGCCAAGGCGAUGGCAGCUUCCCUGGGGACAGUGACUAUUUGGGACAAAAAGAAACCAUUGGCCUCAGAGGGACAGACAAAUAGCUUGAGCUAUAAGAACUGUUGUGACAAUGUCUCCGGCCCCUGCUCGCUUCAGGCAAAUGAGAAUGACACACUGGAGUUUCAUCCACUCAGGAGAGAGGAAUGGAAGCCCGGAGCAACUGGGGAAAACAGGGUGCAAACUCAGUUAUUUUGAAUGGAGGUCUCCUAGCUUCCUAAAUUAUCAUUGCCUGGAAGAUAACACUGUACCAACAGGGUUCCAGGCUGCUCUCUAAGGAAGCAAGCAUGCUAAAUUAAUACCAGACUUCCAUUCACUCCACAUGCUUGGAUCCCAGUGUAACAUUGUGCUUCUGUUUGGCAUAUGAAUGUGGAUGCUUUCAGUCAUCUGUAUACAUUGGUUUCUCUUUUUUCCUAUAGAAUUAGACCCCAGCCAAUUUGACCCUUGCCCUCCACUCAGCUUCUUGGAGCCUUGUUCUCCCGUGUGAUAAAUGAUAUCUUCUCCUUACCUGACAGCUUUGAGAAUGGAAAGGAUUGGUACCAAUGAUAGCAAUUAGCUCCCAUGGUGGCACACGUUAGAGCCAAGUAAAUAGUGUAUUUUCUUUCCUCUUGCUUCACCUUCGUGUGGCAAACAGGUACGCUGACACGAGCACACACACGGUAAAUCACCAACUUGGCCAAUAAAUCUAUGCUAAGUCAGAGUUAACUUAGAAAAUCAACACGGCACAGAGGCUUUUAGAGGGCUGACAUUCCUCAGGUUAUGGAAAACAAUAAUAAUAAAUCUCAAGGAAUGUCACCUUGCCCCUGGCACUGAAGACAAGAAGCUGAAAACCUUAGUGGAAUAGCCUUGAGGAUGUGGAGCGCACGGCCGGGAGGGGCAGCUCUUAGAGGAGCUGAGCUAGGGCAGGUGAACGUGUGUGAAGCUGUCAGGCCCCAUGCUGGCCUGGCUAAUUCCUCAGAUUUCACUGUGGAGAGAAGCUCUCAGGGAAGAUGGCAGCAGACAUGAUAGAUACAGAGAUCAACAGCUUUGAAAGUUUAGAAUAAGCUAGAAAAUAUAGCCAAUCAGCCCAGAACCAGGCAGACAUUGCUUCUUCAGGCCUCUCACCACGGGUGUGUGGCUGAUGCUGGGUUACUAUGGCUGCAUCCAAAUGCCACUCUAGAUGGUUUUUGCAUAUUGGCUGUUACUAAGAUUUUCAUGCUUAUUUCUGAAAGUCAUUAUUUAUUCUUCAUCUCAUUGAAUAUGAUUACUCAACUCCCUUUGGAAAGAACCCAGUGGGCUUGUGUUGGGUUUUCUCUCUCUUAAAAGUUAUUUCUUCUGUCAGUGGUUCUCGGUUCCUUCCCCAUACCUACCUUCUGUCUCUAACUUGUUCUUCCUUGAUAAUGCUUGCCUGUUUAUUAAGCUUCUUCCACUUUUAUGAUGCUAUUGUUCAGUUCCCAAGGUUUGGAGUUGGAAGACUCCACUUUCUUUUAAUGUCUUUUGAUGUAGGAUGUGUUUGAUUCUUGCUCUUUGAAUAUUUCAAGGUAAUAUUUUCCCCAUAGUUUUAGUUACAGUUUGGAUAAGAAGCACUCCAUAAAAGUUACAGGUAUUCAAAUCUUGGCCAUCAACUAGUAGAGUUUUGGGGGAGUCCUGGAAACUUUAGGGGUGGAACAAGAGUGAGAUAGACUUGGCCCCACAGUGACCUCCAGAGCAGCUUAGCAACAGAAUGAGACCUUGUCUCCAGAAAAUGAAAACUAGAAUAUUUAGAAGGCAGGGUUUUGCUGAGGGUAGUGAGUGAGAGUGAACCCUGGGUACCACUUAUUCCAGACUUCUCUCUGUUUUGGUGUCUACUUCUUGACCAUCAUGUCUCAUGAUAUCCCAGAAACCCACAGUUAAAUUUGUGAGGCAAAAUAAAUAUUUUCUACUUUUAAGCUGCUUCUCCUGUCACUUGGUCACAGUGAUGAAAAGUGCCCAAUCCAGUCUCUGAUUGGACAUUCGAUCACUUGGCACCCAUAGGGACAGCCAUUGUUUUUCCUCUUGCCUGUGUUCUGCUGUGACAUGGGUUGGGUGACCAUUUAGACGAGGAACCCUCUAUAUAAGGAAGACAUGGAAACUGGAACUCCUGUGUGGCUUCAGGGAGAACAUGAGCUUUCAGACAGAUCUGUUUGCCUCUCUGGGGCUGCUAAAAUGUAUGAAUUAUAAACGCCUAUGAAUGUGUAUAGCACCUUGAGUCCCAAAUCCUCCUGCAACCAAGCAAGCAAUUACAGUUUCCCUUAGGACCCCACUACAUCCAGAAUCCAGGCCACGACAAAAAUCAAACUCAACUUCUAAAGGCUAUCAGGAGUGCCAACCUCAUGGACAAAUCCCAUCCCGCUAUUUGUCUCAGCUCUUCCAACCUCUGCAAUCACGGUGAGAACCUGUGUCCCCAGAGUAUACCCACAGAAGAUGAACUUGCCUUCCUCUGUUCUCAAGGACCCUCUCUGUGUUGGUCUUUGGAGAAUUCCCUUGUUAUCUUCCAAUCAUUAUCAUCACUAACGACAUCUCCAACACAGUUAGCAUUGGCUGAGCCUUUGUGCUGUGUGCAAGCUUCCCUGUACCCACUUCCCAUUCUCUCAUGAGCUGCUUCAUUUAACUCUCAUCCCAGCAUGGUGGGGCAGAUGCUCUAAUUAUUCCCAUUUUACAGAUGAUGUCAUUCUAAUUUCCUUUAAAGAACAGGCAUUUUUGUUGGAGAUACACACAAGCGUGCAUACAGAGAUAUUAAAUAUUAAUAUAUACUAAGGAUGCAGUGAAUAACUUUCCUAGAAAAGUUAGCUUGGUAGAGAAAAAAUAAUUCUCACUUAGCCAGUUCACAUCAAAGUCAGAAGUAGCACCAAUAUUCUUCCUCCUAGCCUACUGCCAGGCUGCCUUGUUAGGAGACUUUCUUCUCUGAACUUCUACUGAUUUCUGACAUUGUGUUUAAGAUUUGAUUUUCUGAAAGAAACCUGGGAGAAAAAGGACCAAGGUGUCCAUUUCGUAAGGCACCUUGACCAUGUUUUCAGAUCUUCGAGCUGCUCCUGAACUCUCUAACCUACCUUGGUACUGGGAAGAAAUCAAACGGAGCUGUGGCCAUUGAACAGCAAAGCAUAGAAAGGCAGCUGUCUGAUUUUUGUCUAGCAAAGAGCGUGUUUCAAAUACAGGUUUAAAAAGAAUUGUUCCUCUAUGGUGUAAACUCACUCCCUUAAUGUGACUUGUUUGGUUGAAGAGCUUAAUAAUCCAUCUGUUAAGGUAGAGAGGGCUAACUAUGUGGUAUCUGCAGUGUCCUUUCAAAUUGUGCUGGUUUUCAGUAUGGAUUAUUGUUAACAAUGAAGCACAAGGAAACUCAGGAUUGUGCCCCUGGGUUGCCAUUUAAGUCCAAAGCUUCUCUUUAGGUUUGUUUUUGAGGAUGACUGGACAUGGAAGGCAAGGUAGGUAAGUCAGAAAGGGCAGAAUAGGAGUCUUGCUACUGCAAGAUAAGGCUAGAAAGAACAGGAGGUCAUCAUGUCAGACAGACAGUCUUCUGGGCCCACUGCUCUGUCUUAUGGUAGCCCUGAUACAAGUCUGCAGUUGUGUGACUGUCAAAUAUUACUGACUAUCCCCUCACAGUGUGUGCUUUUUGCUGUUGUUGCUUGUUUGUUCAAAUGUUUUGAGUCAGAGUCUCAUUCUGUACUCUAGGCUGGCCUGGAACUCAUUGUGUGGCUUAGGCUGGCUUUCAAUAUAAUACUAAUCUCUCUGCCUCAGCCUCUCCAGUGUACGGACUACAACUAUGAGUUGCUUUUUAUGUUUUAGUGCUCAUAUGCUGCUCUUCAAUCACUGGACUAGGAAAAGUCAAAGCAGCAAUACUAAUAGUAAAAUCAGCAAACGUCCAUGUCGAUCAAGGAAGAUGCUCACUACCACAUCCUCGCAGGGCCCCUGUGGGCAAUGCAGGAAUAGAAGAUGAAAGACUGUCAUAAAGACUGAAAUACAAGACUGACAUUCUGGGAAUAAAACUUGAAUCUUUGAUAAACAGAAAUAGUUUACCCCCUAUGCCAGAUGUAAAGGCCAUCAGUAGAACUAAUGCAUCUGUAAACUUAUAAUCCAACAGGGAAGACAUAAAAGCACAGCAUUUAAAGUUGGUGAGGUCAGGACUAUGUUCAGAAGUGGCAACAGGAGGGCACUGUGGAGGAGCACCAUGCACAGAAGAAGGCUUGCAAGCCUUUUUCAGAAAGCCCACAGAGAGCACUAGUGAACAAGAGGAGCUCUCUUGGGUCAUGGUCAAAGUAUCAGAAUGAAGACUGGGCUGGAGGUGUAACUCGGAGGUUGAACACUUGCCUACCAUGGCUACCAUGCAAGAAGCUUGGGUUCAGUUCCCUGCACUGCCAUAUCUACCCAUGCAUAUGCACCGGAAGUGUGUGGUAGAACUAGCCAACAUGGUUUGAAACCAGAUCUCUUCCCCAUGCAGAAGCCUGGGUUCAAUCUUGAUUGAGAAGAUAUUUAAUUGUCCCUGGUGCUCAUUAUAGUCAAACAAAAAAAUGUGGCCAGUUUCCUUAGGUGUUUAGUGAUUUUUCCAUGGUAUAUACCAAUUACCAUGCAAAGUAUUGUCUUUCCAGUGUUUGAUUCUAAAAAACAAAAACAAAACAAAAAAAAGUGAAAAAUUGAAAAAAAUUCUCCUUUUGUUGAAACUUUAGAAAUUUUCUUGUUUUACACAUUAUUUAACACCCCACAAACAACGUGUGCAUCUCUGCUGAUGCCAACUUGCUAGGACUCUGUUCUUUCAAUCCACAUCACUCUCUAAGAGACCCCACUCUCUGAUGGCUUCAGUUAUUUGUAACUUGGCAACUCUGUAUUUCUAACGCUCGUCAAGAUCUCUUUUCUUAGCUCCAUUUGACCCACUUGUUUACUGGGUCAUAAUAAUCUUCUUAGCUCCACGCCGACCUAGAUGUUUACUAGGUCACAAUAAUGGCAGAGGUUUCCAGAGCACACUUACUCCCCGGCAUCAUUCUCAGCUCCUUGCAUGUAUCAAUUCAUUGAAACCUUCGAGAGAUGCUUCAGGGAUGUGCCACGGCUGAUAGCAUCCUCAGUAAUGCUUUCCAGGAUUCUCACCUCAGCGUGUCCCAGAGCAAUGCAGUGAUUACUCACUGAAGCUAGCGACUCAGAUUCACAGCUCCACAGUCUGCUAAUUAAUGAAGAUCUUCCAACCACAGUGCUCCACCAUGGAUCCAAGAAGUCAUGCUUCAUGCUGCCAAUAUCCCAUCUGUACAAACACACAAGUACUAAAACUUUUCCCUCCAACUUUCCUAAGAGAGGUGACAUCAUGUGAUGGCUAACUCCUCCCCUCCCCUCCCCUCGUUUUUGCUAAUUGAUACAUUUGUGACUUGGGCAAGUUGGUUAACUCACCGAGUUUGGUUUUCUUUAUGGAUAAAACAAACAGUGUUUACUCACAGGACUGUUAUGAGACAGAAAUGAGUAAUUAUGUAAAUUUUAUAUAAUUUUAAAUUCUCUUUCUCUCUGUGUGUGUACACACACAUGUGCAUGCACACACACAUGAAUGUACACACCUGAUCAGAUCAGAGGCAUCAGAUACUUUGAAGGUAGAGUUACAGGUAGUUGUGAGCCACCUGCCAUGGAUGCUGGGCCUGGUACCUGAGACCUCUGCAAGAACCAAAUGUGCUCUGUGCUCUUAGCCACGAAGCCUUCUCUUCAGACCCAACCAAAGAGGUGUUUUUUUGUUUUUUGGUUUUUUUUUUUUUUGUUUGUUUGUUUUUUAUAUUUAGGAGGCCAGAGAGCAACCUUGGUUAUCAUUUGUUGGGUACUGUCUACAUUGUUGUUGUGUUUGUUUAUUUAUUUUUAGUUUGAAAGAAGCUCUCUUUUUGGCCUGGGGCUGACCAAAUAAGCUAGGCUGCUUGGUCAGUGAGCCUCAGUGAGCCCCUUCUGUCUCCAGCUCCCUGGCGCUGGUACUACAAGCUCAUGUCAUCACAUCAGACAUUUUCACAUGAGUUUCAGGCUUGGAGUCAGGCCUUUAUGCUUCCAUCGUUUUCCCACCUGAGUUCUCUCACCAGCUCCACCCCUCCCCCUCGGGUUCUUUUUUUUUGUGUGUGUGUGUGUGUAAUUUUUAAAAAAAUGUUGGAUAAAGCAAUGCAUUUCAUCUCCCUCUAUCUACUUCUAAGGAGAAAAUAAUUAGUUGCCAGUGCAGCAUCUGGACAUUGUGGAUGGCACCUCUCAGACUUACUGGCUUGGAACUGCAGGACUCAGAAUCAUGGACAGGCAUUGUAUUCUGUCAGCUCGAGGUCUGGCAUUUGGUGCUGUCUUUUUAUCUUUUUAAGAGAGAACUAUGCAGUCAGGAUAUAAAUUAUGGCUUAUGUAUAUUUGAACUCCAUUCCCAGGUUCAGUACAUUUCUGAUAAAAAAAAGGUGUAUUUCCCUGCUCCUCCAUCCUCCUUACAGCAAAUACACUUUCAGCCUGUCAAUGUUAAGUGUCUUUUUAUUUCUUAAUUUAAUGGUGUGUCAUUAGGGCUGAAGGAGAUGAAGUUUCAAACAAAUUCAGGGCUGUUUUUAGACAGGAGGCCAGGCAACCCAUGGAAAGGGUUGAGACGGACAAGGUGGAUGGCAGGCAGAACCUAGUGCACCCGACACGCAACCAUAAAGCUGUCUGUCUGUGGGCAGAGCUUUGCUCUCCUAACGUGCUUCCAGCUGCCUUCCUUUGAAUACUUAACCUUCUUCCCGAGACAGAGCUUAGCCCUUUCUCUCCAUCAGCCCAGAUAUUAGGAGAGUUUCUUCAGGAACUCAGUCUCUGACACCAGGUUCCCCAUUUCGGCUUCACCGGGGGUCGAUCCAGCCUUUGAGUCCCCCGAUGUGUCAGACCCUCCUUCUGUAAUACACUUCAUUCCUUCUCUUUACAAAGGCAAAGUUAGUGAUGCGGAAGACAUCAUGGAAUUCCAAAAGUCUCCAUAUGAAGAUUGCUUAUUCAGUUCAACACAAAAGGCUUUCAGCAUAAUUUUCCUAUCUAAUCUUUAGAACCUCAUCAUCAAUAGCUACUGUUAGAACUCCAUUUUAUAGAUGAAUCGAGAGACUUGGAGAGAUUGAGUCUGAGGCCACACAGCAAGCAGGUGGGAGAGCUCAGAUAGUAACCCGCUCUAUUUGAGAGACCAGGGACAGGGCCUGCAGAGGCUGGGGCAUCAUUGUAGGAUUAGAAAAGACAGAACAGAACAGCAUCAAUAAACACAGGAAGGGGAAUACUGCUAAAUGGUUUGAGAUGAACACUUUUGAAAGUGACUUGGUUUCUUGUAAGUGAUUUGAAAAUGUUUUUGGUGUUGUUCAUUUAUUUUAUUUUAUUUUAUUUUUUUGAGGAAGAACACUGCAAAAAGCAACAUAGUAGAAGGGAGGAAUGCCAGCUUUGAUGGCUUUUAAACAUUCUAGGAGUAACAAUGCUAUAAACUGUGAGUUUGGGGCAGAAGAAUCAACAGAAGAUGUGUUCAGGGAGUAGGCUGCCCAGAAACACAUCUGUUAAAGAGAAGAAAUUCAAGAAUUCUAUGCACAAAUAUGACAACUAGAGAAAUCAUCUAGAAAAUAAGAGCAUAUUCAUGAGCAUGGCACUAAAUAUUGAUUAACUGUCAGCAAAACACUCAUAUAGAGGCCAAUGCUUAGAUUAUAGGUGGAUUACAGAGAAGAAUGUAAACUAUAAAGCCUUUAAAACUAGAAGCAUAAAUAAAUCUGUGUAGGGAUUCUGGGUGGAGAAGGUCUGUCUAUGCCCCAAAGCAAUGCAAUAAAUAAUAGAAGAAAGACUGAUGGGUUUGGCAGUGUUCAGAUAAAAUCCUUCUGUAUGUCAAACACCAUGAAAUUUAAAAACAGUUCCAUCAGCCAGAUGGCAGAAUAAGGAGUUUCCAAUGCUUGUCCCCUCAUAGAAACACUAAUUUGAAAAACAAUUCAUGCACAAAAAAAAAUAGCUUCAUAAGAGCUAAGGGAUCCAGAUGAGGGAGUGGAUCAUCUGAGUGGGGCACAGAAAUAGACAUGUACUCAGGAGAAAAUGAAGGGCAGUAUCCUUGUCCAUCCCCACCAAACCUGUGCAUCCUGGGAGAAUGCUGUGAGGGUGGUGGUGGGGUAUUCAAGUAAGGCCACUAUUUCUAUGUACUCCAGCUUUAGGCCACGCCUAUACUGCAGGCCUGGGCUUUAGGUUGGUACCUCAUCUAGUAGCCUCAUCUAGGACAGACCCACGACUUCAGACUUCCAACUUAUUUCAAUAUAAGUCCAUUUCUGAUGACUCCAAACAUCUUUGUGACCCCACACUUGGUCCCCAUAGACUGAGGACCCAAACUUAUCCUUAGCAACUAAAAGUCUACAUCUACAAAAGAACCACAGAAGCUCAGAUAGUUCCAGACUCCAAAGUAGUCCCACAAGACCAGGGUCCAGAUCCCAUCUCUUUUAAAAAUUAUCUUAUGGGAGGGGUGUGGAGCAUCCAAUCCUGCUCACAUGCAUGUGCACAUGCAUGUACAGUUUCAUGAACCCAUGAAUGCACAUAUAGAGGCCAUAGGUUAACUAUCUUCCUUUGUCACUUUCCAUUACAGAUUUUGAAAAAAGGUCUUAAAACUUUGGCUAUAUUAGCUGGGUGUAACCCCCACCCCUAUCUCCUCACUUCCAGGACAAGGGUCAUAGAUACACAUUGCCACAUUUGGCAUUUAUGGUCAUCAGGGAUGGAACUCAGUUCCUCAUCCUUAUGUAACAAGCACUUUACCAACUGGCCCAUCUUCCUAGCUCCAGACCAGUCCUUAGAAAGCAAGAAUGUCUGUGUAGGCUGACAGGUGAAGAGCCCCAUCCUAACAAAACCAACCAAUAAAAACUGGAAAAUAAGACAGUUCUUCAAAUCAACAGAAACACAUGUAAAACUACAGGGGUGAGAUACUAUCAGGGAAGUGAGGCAGAGACAAAGGGAAACAAAAUGAUAGUAACUCAUUAUAAAGAGGUGAUGUACAAAGGCCAGGCGUGUUGGCACACCAGGAACCACAGCACUUAUGAGAUUGAAGUGGGAGGAUCUCCAGUUUGAGGCCAGCCUGGAUUGGAGAGUAUAUCCAUGGCCAUUGUGGACUACAUCAAAUGACGAGUAAAAAAUGCCUAACAAAGUAUUCAAAGAAUUAACUUAAAUUAUCUCAAUGAAACUACAAAAGAACAUAGAUAGCCUACCAAGACCAGGAUAAUAAUACAAGAGUAACAUAUCAAUGAAGGGAAAAAGAUAAAACAUUAAAAAGAGUCCAAUAAAAGUGCCAGAGCUAAAGAACACAAUAGCCACCUCUUAAAAGUCUCAAGAUAUUCAAGUGUAGACUUGAUCAAGUAGAAGGAAGAAUCGUCAAGCUAAUUCAGUGUCUGUUUGCUUACAUCAUCUAUCUGAGGAAUAGAAAGGAAAAGCAAUGAUGCAGAAUGCAAAAGCCAAUGGGUCUUAUGGGUUACCAGCAAGUGAGGCAGAACACUCAUGAUGGAAGCUUACGAAGCAGCUGAUAGAGAAAGGUAGAGGCCUUAUUUAAAAAGAUGAUCACUGAAUACUGUCCACAUAUAGAGAAGGACAUGACCAUCCCAGUCCUCAAAGGCAAAAUAGCUUUGAAUAAUCAAACAUAACGACCUUCUCAUUGAGACUUUAUAGCCAAAUUUCAAAAGUUGGAGAAAAAAUGAAGUUUAGAGCAUAUAGAGUAUAUAUAUACAUACAUAUAUAUAUAUAUAUAUAUAUAUAUAUAUAUAUAUAUAUAUAUAUAUAUAUAUAUAUGAAUAACUUUUCAGAUAUAAAUAAAGUACUUUUCGUAUGGUUGGUGGCAAAUUUCUUAGGAGAAACCUUGCAGACUGAGACAGAUUAGAUGAAAUAGGCCAAGAGAAACAGAAAACAAAGGAGUGUACCACCACUGGAUCUGCCGUACAAGAAGUAUUAAAAGGAGUCUCCAAGUUGAAAUGAAAGAACACUGGCAAGAACAGAUGGGGGAAAGGCAAAACUCAAGGUCAAGGUCGGAUCCAGAAUAAGCUUAUAGUGCACAAUCAUUUCUUACUAUAAAUGAUAAGAUACCAAAGUAUGAUAGCAACAACCAUUUAUUAAUGGUUAUGUCAUGAAAAAUGACAGUUGUGACAUCAGUAACAUAAAAUGUGUGAGACAGUGUUCGCAGCUGCUGACUAGCUGAGCUGCUAUCAUCUUCAGGAGAUGGUGAUGGUCCAUAUAAGCCUUGUGGUAAAGACUAAGAAAAGUCCCCAAAGCAACAGUACAAAACAGUCAUUACAUCACAAGACACCAGGAGAAAAACAAGAGAGCAAUAGAGCAGAUGGAGACAUGAUGGUAAAAACAAACCCUUCACGGCCAAUAAAUUACUAAUUGUUAAUGUAUUAAAUCAUUCAAUCAAAAUGCAUAUAAUGGCUGAAUGCAUUACAAAACAAGAUCCAACUGUAUGCUACUGACAAGGAGACUCACCUUAAUUUUAAGGCCACAAUUUUCUGUUUAAAGCAUAGAAAUGGACAAAGAUAAUCUGUGCAAAGGCCAUUUGAAGAGAGAGAGUGAGAGUCUCUGUGCCUAUAGGAGACAAUAUUAUAACAAUUGUAAAUCCAUCCAUCAAUCAAUCUCAAUAUCAGAAUACCUGAAUAUAUAAGAUAAAUACUUGAAGUCAUAGCACAAUAGAAGGGUUCUUAACUGUCCCCUUUCCAACAGUAUGUAAAUCAUCCAGACAGAAAGUUGAUAAGGAACAUUGAACCUGGUGACAGUGCAGGCCACUUGGACCUUAGAGGUGUGUGAGGAAUAUUCACAGGACAACUACAGAAAACACAUUAUUUUCAAAUAUCCAUGGAGCAUCCUGAAAAUAAUGUAAAGCCACAUAGCAAGGGCUAACAAGUUCAGAUUGAGAUAAUGUCUAGUACCUUUCCCAGCCUCAGUCACAGGAGGCUAGAAAUCAGUAGUAAGAUGCUCAUUGAUAAAUAUGUGCAAAUUCAAUUACACAUUCCUCAACAACCAAGGCAACAAAGGAGAAAACAAAAGAAAAAUAGUUUUAAAUCUUGAAAGAAAAUGGAAAAACAAAAUUUAAAGGGUAAUAACAUUUUUUAUUUAAUCGUUUUUAAUUGAUAUAUGUAAGGCACAAUUUAUUAUGAUGAUAUAUAUGUAUGUAAACACAGCAUAAUUAUGUUUAAAAUAUAUUACCCAUAUUCUGUCACACAAGCAAAAGCACUUUUCCAGCAGUUUAAAAACAAAUACCAAAUGCAUGUUAGCUACAGUGCUUAAGAGCCCGUUGUGGUGAUUCACACCUUUAAUCUCAGCACUAAGGAAGAAGAAACAGGCAGAUCUCUUUUCAGUUCCAGGCCAACCAGGGCCAUAUAUUGUUUCAAACAAACAAACAAACAAAGUAAAAAUAAAUAAAAAAGGAAAGAAAUGCAAAACUAAAAUGAUUAUGGUUUUAAUAACCAUUCCUUUUCUCUAGCUGGAAUAUUCUCCUGUCUGCUUUUGUUCUCUGUGACGAAUAUCUGAUCCUUUCCCAUCUACCCUUCAUCUUGAGAAUCUAGUAUCUACUACACUUGUGUCUUUGUCUAUGAAUUAAAAUGUUAAAACUUCCUCUGUGGUGAGAUAAUCAGGUGCAGUAUUUGCCCCCAGUGUCGUCCUAAGCACAAUGUCUUCCAAGUCCAUGCCUGCUGCUGUAAUACGCCAUACCAUCUUUGUGAAGUUUAAAUAACAAUGACUAGUGUGUAUACAUCACAUUUUCUUUAUGUCUGCAUCUACUGGUGGUACAAAGAUUGUGUCAAUGCCUUAGUAAUUAUCAAUACUGCUACUAUGAACUUGGUCAUACAGUCAUCUCUCCAGCAUUCUGAUAUAUAUAUAUAUAUAUAAUUUUAAGGGACUUUGUGCUUUUUCAUAGAUUUAUGCUGAUGUGCAUUCAACACAUCUUUGCUAACAUUUAUUACCUUUUGCCUUCUAUCCACCAAAAUAUUUCUAACAGGUGCACAUGUUCUAAUUAGGCAAUGUUCUACAUGAUUUCAAAAGAAAAUGGGUCAAAGUAAAAGAGGGCAUAUACGUCAGGCCCAUUGCUCACACCACACACAGUUGUGAAAAGUUGACUCUUCUUUAAGUUCAAGAAGAUAAGAUUUCAAGAUAGCUCUGGUUGGACAGCACAAGCAAGCUCGACAUAGAAAUACACACAAAUAAAUUAAAAAGCAAAACAUUUUAUUUUCUCUUUGUUUUGACAUGGUCCUAUAAACAGGAGAUCUUAAGAGUCCAAGCAAUAAGCUAUUCACAAAUUCAGUAAUAUUUCAGAAUACAAAACUACACAUUAAAAAAUGAACUAUCUACAAAAGAAGCUAAAAUAACCAGUACAGGUAUAUAUGCUCACAGUGUGAUGAGCUCUAACUAACCUCAAGUUUCAAACUGCUAAAACCCCAGAAGAAAGCAUGAACAGGACAGAAAAUAUGCAAAGGCUCUUUAGAACUAGAAAAAAGUUUUAAUGAUAAAGAAACAUAAUUUAAAUUAAUAACAUUGAGAUGGGUCUCUUUCUGCCUCACAAAUUGUCAAAGUUAGAGAAAAUUUUGACUCUAUAUCUUACCAGUGGGUAACCUAAAACCCUGCUGUAAGAGACAUAAGCUGGAAAGCAAUUUGGCUGCAUGCAAGGAAGGUAUUAAAAUUCUAAUGCUAAAAGUGCUAGGAAUGUUUUUGUACCUGUUGUUCCCAUUUAUAGGAUUAUCUCCUGGGGUGGUAAAAUAACAUAAGGAAAACUGUUUUUUUUUUGUCAGUGAUAGGCUAUCCAUUGUAAUGUUGGGCAAAACAGCACAAUGGUAGAAAUAACCCAACUACUUAGCUGUAAGGGAAUGGUGUGCAUCUCUGUGUUUGUGAGAUCUUUAUCUUCAGGAUGAAUCAAAAAUUCUUAAAAACUUUUGCAUCUGUUCUCAACGUGUACAGACACCUUUCUUGUCACCACUCUUUAAACAGUGGAGCAUAGCUACUCUACACAGCAUAUGCACAGAAUUAGAUUUCUAAGUAAUGUAGAGAUGGUUAGAUAUGUUCAGGAGACUGUGUGAAAGCAUUGCCAUUUUGUAGAUGGGACUUGAGCAUCCACAAGUUUUGAUAGCUAUAGAGUCCCCACUGGAUGUGGAAGUAAAGAUAAUACACAUUGUGAGGUAACUGAAAUGCACACGACUUAUUUAGACAUGAAAACAUAUUGAAGGGCUCUUAUGUAGUAAAAUUGAUUGUCAGCUCCAGAAUACAUCGGAGAACCAAACAACCCAAAUACUCUCCUUGAAAAAGCUUACAUUAUUACGAAGUAGAACUAUAUAGAAAUAAUAGCAUGUAUAAAUGACAGAAACUUCUGGAUGAUGGUAAAUGCUAAGAAAACUGCCCGGGGAGGUGAUGGGAGUGUCCAGAAUUAUGAAAGUGCGGUUUUCAAGUGGACUGAAUUCUCCUCACUCAGCAGGUGUCAUUGAACAAGUACACAGGGGGAUGGAGGAGGUUUGUGGUAGAGCACACAUUUCUGUGAAGGGAAAGAGGGCGGAAGUCCUUUUGGUAGAUGUGAGCAUACAUAGUGCAUUUCAGGAUGAUAAGGAGACUGAUGUGUCUGGUGCAGAAGAAUACCGAGAAGGUAGGGGAGAUAUGAGGAGCGAAUGAGGACCAUCUCACUGCAAUCUGGAUGACUAGAAGCUGCUGGUGACUUCUGAGAGGUGACCAGGAUUGUCACUUUUCAAACGGCCUCUCUGGUUGCUCUCUGGUAGCAAGAAUUGAAGCAAGGAAGCUCAUGCAGACUAGCAGAGGGUAGUAGAAGCUUAAAUUCAGCAGGUGAGGCUUCUCUAAGGGAUUGGUGGUCAAUCUAAACCACAGGAAGGCAGCAAGGGAGACCUAGGGCUCAAGGGACCAUCAUUUUUUCCCCUGUCUUCAUAUCUACCCAAAUAUGGGAUUUGGUUUAUUUUUUUCAAUUCACUAGUGCAGUGGCUCUCAAAGGGUGACAUGUAGAGUGGUACACACUGGGGAGGUUGAGGAAAAAAUAAUUCUUCAGGAUCACCUCACACUCAGUGAGCCAGAAACUUGAGGGAUGGGGCCUGGCUAUCUAUGGUGUAGGAAGUGUUGAAGUCACUCUGAUAAGCUAAUAUUACAUCCUGACCCCAGGCCCAAGAUUAUAUGUGUAGAAUGGAGGCCACUGAGUUUCCUAGAAUGAGAGUUAUAACCUAUUUUCCCACUAACAACUUAAAAAGGACCAAUGGAUGUCCCCACUUUUAGCAAUGCUUUCCCAACCCCAAAGCAUCCCAGCAGAGUUUCCUGUUCUUUCUGAUUUUCUUCUGUCCAAGCCUGGCUUCCUUCUAUCUGCCCCACUACUCAAUCUCUGCAGACCGGACAUGGGAGAAACAGAGCAGCUGGACUCAUAUAAUCGCAGGCUCUUCUCUUCCUAAUGUCUUACGAUCUCCUCCUGUCUCCUCCUGAGUGAAGAAAAUAGUUCUGUUUUAGAGAGAGGGAUUCUGCUGUUACCUGUAGUGUGAGCAUCUUCUCAGAAACGUGUGCAUAUGUAUCUCUAAUGUAUGUAUACAAACACAUAUAAUGUUGAUAGAAAUAGUCAUAUGCAUAUACACACACGUGUAUAAUAAAACAAAACACAAGCAAUUCUCUAUAACUGGGGGCAGUGGCUUCUCUUUUCUUCUUUCUCCUUCUCCUCUUCCCCAGUGUCUCCUCCUCCGUCUUGCCCUCCUAACUCUUCUCUCCCUCCUCCUUGCUCUCCCUCUCUCCCUUCUUCUAUUCCUCAUUCCUUUUUACACUCUCCUUUACAUUUUUAAAAUCUUCCACAUAUAAGUUCCUCAGUAAAUAAAAAAUAAAAACAUAGAAAAGAAUAAGGGAAGGGGAACUAGGAAGGAAGGGAAAUAAGGGAGAAAUACAUGAGAUUCUCUGUGUACUUUGCGCAUCUUGGUCUGACUGAAGGCAGGGAUCCACAGAGUGACAGAGAGAUGCUCAGGUUGGUGAGAUUUAAUGCACACUCUUGGAUGUAUAUGUCCUGGAGCGUCUCCUCAUGCCCUCUCGCUGUGGCCAAGAGCUUCAUUCCACCCACAGAGGGCUAGGAAUUGAAUCUCUCUUUGGGAAAUCAAGGAUGUCACACCUCACACUGGAUGUGCUAUCAGAAAGUGAAGCAGAUUUUAGAACAACAAAACAGAAAGUAGUUGAGCACCCUUGCUAAAUAAAAAGUGCACAGCACCAUGCAUGCAUGUGGAAGGGAACGGUAAAAGGUACCAAAAGAGUUGUUCCCAUGUAGCUGUGAUGAACCCACUUCUAACCAUUUACUCCAGCGUCCUUCUUUCGGCAUGAUUCAGGCUACUCUGUCUCAACACAUUCACAGCUAUUAAGCAAAGUCCAAAUGUUCAAUGCCUCAUUAACACUUCCUGCUGCCAAGAGCAAUUGUGUCUCUAGUGAGUCUCUUAACUUCUCUUCGCCAGUUUGUUCUUAUCACAUCAUAUAAGAUGAUUGUAGGCAUAGGCAGGCAGAUUUCUGAGUUCGAGGCCAGCCUGGUCUACACAAAGAAACUCUGUCUCAAAAAACCAAAAAACCAAAAGAAACAAAACAAAACAACAACAACAACAACAACAAAAAACAACCUAAAAACAAAACAAAACAAACAAACAAACAAAAAGAUUGUAUGCUUCCCCCCCCUAUUUUCUUAUAAACAAUCUCUAUAAAACUUUCCUCUCCUACUUUUUUGCAAAUUUAUUUUCUCUUUCUUCUACAUAUAUGUGUUUUAUGUUACAAGUAAGCAGCCAUUUCCAUUUUUUUAAAUUAACAAAAAACUCAUUUCCUUUUAUUUUAGAAGUAAAUAAAAUUCUCUGUAUCAGGGGGUCUUAGUCCAUUGUCUGUUGAUAUAACUGAUGCCAUAGUCUAUAUAGUGACAAAGUAUGAAUAUUUACUCAGCCCAUAGAAGAUGGAAGGGUCUCUAGAAUAACAAUUUUCACCCUGUGGGUUGUAACUGCUUUGAUGGCCUGAGCAACUCUUUCACAGGGGUCACAUAUCUGAUAUCCUGUAUCUGUUAAAAUAAUUUUUUAGUUGGAUCACCACAACAUGAAGAACUAUAUUUAAGUGUCAUAGCAUUAGCGAGAGUGAGAACCACUAUUCUAGGAGGUGCAUCAUACUAGGGCUUUCUUACUGGUAGGAACUCUGUGAUUCCUAAUCACUUCCCAUAUGUUUACAUCUCUUUAAGACCAUGUCUGUACCUCCUUAAAACCAUUUUUUUUUUCAGGGAUGAAAUAUUCAGUGUAUAAAUUUGAGAGUGGGGCACAGAUACCCACAUCAAAUCAGAUGAUUGUAAUGCUUUUAGCUCUCUUGGGUAAAUAUCUAGAAGUGGAAUAGCUCCAUUAAAUAGAAACUGUGUGUUUAGCUUUUUAAAAGUUGGAAAAGAUUUCCUAAAUAAACAUACUGCUUUAUUUUCCCCCCGACUGACUAAAAGGUAGAAAGGAUGCUUACAGUCAUGGGUCAGCAAAACCAGUACUCUAAAAUUGGUUGGAUUCCUGGGCGACCUACAGAUAUAGCAUACCCUCCAUCGAAAAUCCACUGAUGUUCAUCACAGAACUAGAAAAAAAAUCUAGCAUUCAUGUGACAGCACAAAAGACUCCAAGUAGUCAAAAUAAGCAUGAGUAAAAGGAACAGUCCUGGGGGUGUCACUAUAACUGACUUUGCGAUACACCAUUGAGCCAGAGUAACAAAAAUCCCAGGACAUUAUUUCAAAUAUAGAAACAUAGAUUUAUAGAGGAGGAGAGAGGACCCCGAAAUAAACCCUGUCAGAUAUAUAAGUAACAGUGAUUGUCUCCCAUCUGUUGUCUGUCUCUUCACUCGGUUAAUUGUUUCCUUUGCUAUGCAGACGCUUUUUAAUUUCGUGCAAUUUCAUCUGUCAAUUCCUGGCUUCAUUUCCAGAAUGAUUCGGAGUCCUUUACAGAAACUCCUUGCCUUUGCCAGGAUGCCGAGUGUUUUCUUUGGACCAUUUCAGAGUCUCAGGUCUUACUACCAUUGAUCCGUUUGUGAUGAGAUUACUCUUGUAUGGGGUGAGAGAUAUGAAUCUUCUUUCUUCUACAUGUAGAUAUCUCGUUUUCUCAGUGCUGCUUUUGGAGGAGGCUGUCUUCCCUCUAGCAUGGUUUUUAUGUCUUUGCAAAAAGAUAGGUGACAGUAAUUUUGUGAGUUUAUUUUGAGCCUACUAUUAUCCUCUUUUAACUUAUUUUUCUGUUUUUGAAAUAAUGCUAUGUUUUUUGGUUACUGUGGGUCUGCGGUGUAAACGUCAGGAAUUGUGUACAUACUCACAGUCUCCGUAGUAUUGGCUCUCCUGAUCUAUGCAUGUAAGGAGUUUUUCCACUUUCUAGGAUCUUCUUCCUAGAAAGAGUUUUAAUUGUUUUCUUGUGAAGAUCUUUACCUUUCUUAUAUUAAUUACUGGGCAUUUUUUUAAAGGUACUAUAGAGGGUCAUUUAGUUGAUUUCGGUUUUGGUGAAUUCAUUAUUGGCUCACAGGAAAGAUGCUGAUUUUUCUGUGUUACAUUUGUGCCCUACUACUUUUCUCAAAUAGUUUCACAGCCUUAAGAAUUUUCAGGGGUCCCCAUUUUCCAGAAUGGAGGAAGAGCUCCUUGAGUGUGUCCCUGUCCCCGAGUCCCCAGGUCCCCGUAUCCAUCUUAGGUGUGUUGUUAGUCAGCAUGUAUUCAGUGAGCAAGAGAUUGAUCUGAAAAUGAGUAGAACGAAAAGAAAUACCAGCCACAUUCAGCUAUUGUGCUAAAGCUGCAUGGGUAGUUUCUGUUUAUUUGUCCGUUUAGCAUAUUUUAGGUAAUGAAUAUGUGGAAAACAAAAAUGUCAUAAAUAUUUCGUUACUUAUUUAUAGCAUGAGAAAAACACUGGGGCUGGAAAGUUGGCUUGGCAGUUUAGAGCCCUUGUUGAUCUUUCAGAAGACCUGGGGUUUCUUUUCCCAGCAUUUAUGUGGUGGCUUCUGAUCUCUGCAGAAUAUUACACACUUGGUGCACAUAUAUUCAUCCACUCACUAAAAAUAAAUAAAUAAAUAAAUAAAUAAAUAAAUAACAAUAAUAAAUAUUUAAAAAUAAGAACAAAGAAAAAUUUUCUUGUGCAAUCAUCAGGCUCAUACUAUUUGGAAAUAGGGAUAAUUUAAUCAAAGGCUUACCAGCCUGCUAAAUGUGUUUGGUAACCACUUGUAGGUUGUUGUCUAAGCACAGGUGAAGGCAGGCACAAGAUAAGGCAAUAGCCUGUGAUUGGACAGUGGAAAAAGAAGGCAGGCUGAGAAUUUUAGAGAUGAGCACAGAGGGACAGAGAGGGAGAGACAGAGAGGAGGAGACAAGAUGGAACGGACGUAUAGGAGAGGAAGAGGAGCCAGAAGCACACAGUCCUGAGAGCUAUAAGUAUUGGGGAUUUCUUAGAUAGAUAAUUAAAUAAUAAGUUGGGUGCGCUUGCCCCAUCUAGGUGUGUAGCUUGUGUUUAUAUCAAUUGAGUUUUGAGUUAAUUGUGAGGGAGUUUAGUGGGUUGAGAAUUUACUAAUAUAUAUCUGAAGGAUAAAUUACAAGCCUCUAGAGUUUUGAUUUUACUUGGUUACUGGGAUUUGUGACAGCUAACCACAGGGGGCAGAGGGCUGGGAAUGUGAGUGGAAUCUGCAGCAAGAGACAGACAGUCGCUGCAUAGGGCUAGCCAUGGUGGCAGAGAGACCGCCAGGGAUAGAGAGUAGCUGGCGUUAGUGUGAAAUGGUGCCAUUUAAAUAUUUCAUGCAACAGCCACUGUCCUUCGAUUUCUAUUUUAUGGACUAGCUGGACCAACAUUGGCGUUAGCUGUUUUAUUUCAAAGGUCUUGUGGAAUCCAUCAGUGACCAGCUCUGGGCUGUGUUCUCAGUUGCUACAUGUUUUGUUCCUGUCUCCUUCACAUUGCUUCUAUUACAGAUGUUUUUACAUUGUUUAUAACCUCGUGGUUCAAAUUUGGUACCUUGCAUGUUUCUAGAAAGUUUUUUCUACAACAGAUAUUUUCUAGAAAUUGUGUUUUCAAACUAGACUCUAUUGAUCCUUUGGCUGUUACUGAUCCCCGUUGUAUCAACCCUCUUUUCUGGAGUUCUACUGGUUAGAAGCUGCUCUCUUACGACUGCUGCUUUGGUUAGAAUUUGUCAGUUGUGUUUAUUUUUCCAAAGAAGCCGUGAUGAAUUCUCUCAAUCCUUUGCCUUGCUCUUCUGUUUCCAUUUUGUUGGUUUUGUUCUAAUCUUAUUGUUUCUUUCUUUCUGCUGAUAUGUGUUUCCCCUUGUCCUUCUUUUUCUAGGACCUUGAGAUGCAUUAUUAAGUUAUUUAUUUGAGGCUUCUCUGAUUUUUAAAUCAGAGAUGUAUAGCUGUCAACAAAACCCACUCUCAUUAUAUCUUAUAAAGGUCUGGUAUAUUCUGUAUUCACUUUCAUUCAAUCAAAGUAAGUUUCAAUUUUCUGAUUUCUUCAGCAUUCAGUAGUGGGUAGUUCAAUUUCUAUGAGUUUAUAUACUUUCUGCAAUAAAUCAAAAUCUUUUUGAUUUAUGGAUUUAUUCCUUAUUUAUCAUAUAGAAGAAAAAUAUAUUUCAAUCCUUCUGAAUUUGUUAGGAUUUGAUUUGUGCAACAAGAGGCAGAGCGUACCUGGUGUCGGGAAGUUAACUAAUGAGCCAGUGCGAGUGAAAUCACACUUAAUGGGGGAGAUUCUACAGCCACUGAUUUACAAAACCAGUAUAGUUCCUAACAGCAAUCUAUAAGCAUGUGCCCUUAUGCUCAGAGAUAAAUGUAAUUUUCAUCCCACAUUAAGGAAACUUCUCUCUGCAAUAGAUGGAGAUUACUAUAGAAAACCACAACCAAUCAAAAGGCAGAGUUGUAGAGACCAAUUGCAACAGAUACAUCUAACAACACACUCCCACACCUAAAGCUCAGAGAACAUUGUAGAAGAGGAGGUAAAUGAUCUGAAGAUCCAAAGGAUCAUAGAGUUAGCUGUGAGAUUUUGUUCCCUGGUCACAUCACAAGCUACCUGCAAAGUCUAAUCAACAUGGCCACCCAAAUCAUGGACUGAACAAGUAUAACACCAACAAACAUGCCAAACUGGAUUGGAAAUAGUCCAUCUGGUGCCAGCACUACACAAAGAGUAACAGGCAACUGAGAAGGCUUGGAUUGGAAAAGCUGGUCUUCCACAGGAAGAGCGCACCAACUGGUUUUCUGCUGCUAAAAGUUCCUCUCUGAAAACAUACAGACAAGUAAUGUUAUAUGACCCAACAGGUUAAAUUUAGAAGUAUGUAUGUAUGUAUGUGCAAAUACGUUAUGAAUUCAAUAGCAUUAGUGAAGACAGAGGCCACAAAUUUGAAGCUGCGUUAUAAGAGGUAUAUUGGAAGUUUUGGGAGAAGGAAAGGGACAGAAGAAAAUUUGUAAUUAAAUUACAACAUCAAAAUAAAUAAACACACAAGAAAAAAAAUGCAUGCCCUCAGUCAUAGGACCUCCACAAACCCAGUCAUGCCAGUAAAGAAAGAACAGAUGAUUGAUGGCUUGGGCACAAGAACAAAAUGUUCGCAGUUGUAUUCUGAAAUGUGGUCAAUUUCAGAUAAAAUUCAAUGGGCAGCUGAGAAGAACGUGUUAAUCAAAUGCUCCACAGAGGUCAAAGUUCCUUUACUCUGUAAUGUCUUUAUCUCCUACAGUUUGGGGGAUAGUCUGGAUGACCUGUUUAUUGAUGAGGGAGAAGUACUAAGACUAAUCACUCUUUCAGGUCUCUCUGGAAGGGAAGUACUCUCACAGACACACCGAAAGACUCUAAGUAUUUCUUAAAUCCAAACAAUAACAUUAAUCUUCAUAAAUCCAGCCCUCGGUAACUUUACACAAUGUUCACAUGAUAAUAUCGCUUUGCUUGUCUACCCCAUGGCCUUCUAAUAAUGAAAAACACAUCCAAGUGUAACUUCUAAAAUCCACAUGCUUUGUAAGAGUCACAACACAACACAACAUAACACAAUGUCUAAAGUCUCUUCUGAGAUUUAAGACAUUCUCUAAUUGGGAAACAAUAGAUACAUGGUUACUAAUUCUUUAAUCUUUUGUUCAAAGGCUCUUGUUUAUUUUUGGUUUUGUCUCAGAAAUGUGACCAGGUAUGGCUUUGGUACAGCCAAUAGACAGGGAGGCAAGGUUUCUAUAAUUUUAUAUUAUACCACCAUGUUGAUUCCUCUGAGCAGGAACAGACAUUCCAACUCUUCUGGAAACAAAUCAAUGACCACAUCUUUGGAUAACAAUAGUUUCCUUACCUGACUUCCAAGAUUUCCUGGCAUUCUUCUUGAAAAUCCCCUAGCACUAGAUUGUCCCACAGUGAAAGAGGCUCUGGCAGAGCCAUUGGAAGUUCCUGAUGAGAAGAGAUAGCCUUAAAGUAGACCCAAGGCAGUGGGAUGAUAAUUAUUAAUAUAUUCUAAGUUCUUUGCCAUAGUAUGAUUUCAAAUUUUUCUCAUCCUGCGAUUUACUCUGUUUUUCACCUCAUAGAGACCCUUAGAGAACAGAUUCCUCUGAUUUUGUUGAAGUCAAAUUUUGAGGGUUUUUUUUUUUUGUAGCUUGUAUUUUUUGUUUGUUUUGUUUUGUUUUGUUUUGUUUUUUUCAAGACAAGGUUUCUCUGGCUGUCCUGCAACUCACUCUGUAGACCAGGCUGACCUCGAACUCAGAAAUCCACCUGACUCUGCCUCCCAAGUGCUGGGAUUAAAGGCGUGUGCCACCACUGCCAGGCUAUAGCUUGUACUUUUAAGAUAUGUUGUAGCUAAGAAAUAAUUGAGUAACCAAAGGUCAUAAAAGUUUUCUCUCACUUUCUUCCUGAAAAGCUUAAUGUUUAAGGCUUUGAUUCAUUCUGAGUGGAUUUUUCUGUACCCCACAAAGCAUGGCCUGCCAGUCUUAGCUUUGAACAUGGAUAGUCCAUUGUUCCAGGAGUACACAAUAGCCUGUAUUUUCUCCACAGAAUUGUUUUACGACCUCUGUAAGAAAUCAAGUGUCCUUGUAAGUGCAGGUUAAUUGCUGGAUUCCAUUUUGUCUCAUUGAUAUUUUUUUAAUUAGGGUUUCCACUAUUGAUUACUGUAGCUUUAAGUCUUCACACUAGAUAGUGCUAGGCCUUCAAUUUGUUUUCUUUUUAACAGUUGUUUUGACUACUCUCUGCCUUUUUUGCAUUUCCAUGUGGAUUUUAAAAUCAACUUGUCAAUUUCUACUUAAGAAAUAUACUGGUAUUUGCACAGAGACUAUAUUGAAUUCAUGGAUUAAUUUGAAGGGAAUGACAUUAUAACAGUAUCAAGUCUCACGACUGAUUAUAUUAGUGUCUCUGUUUAUUUAGAUCCUCUCUAAUUUCUCUCAGUAUUAUUUUGUCAUGUUUUAUGUACAGGUUCUGGAUAAUCUUUGCUGUAUUUACCUCUAAGUAUUCAAUUUGCAGUGCCACUUUUAUUUUAUUUUAUGUGUGUGUGUGUGUAUGAGAUUAAAAUACAAUUAUGUAAUUUCUCCUCCCCUUCCUCUCUCCUACUCCUUUCAUGUUCCCUCCCCCAUCCUUGGUCUCUUUAAAAUUCAUGGCCCCUGUUCUUCUAGUAGUAACACACAUGUGUAUUCCUAGAUAUAUAAAUACAACCUGCCCAGACUCUAAAAUGUUGCGUGUGUGUGUGUGUGUGUGUGUGUGUGUGUGUGUGUGUUUGAUUUCAGAGCUUUUCAAUUGUUCCUGGAGAACCAAUUGGUGACUCUUCCCUGGAGAUGGCUAUUUCUUCUGCUCUCAGAAUUCCUCAGUUGCUUUUAGUUCUUUAUCUCUGUUGAGGCCUCUUCAGCUUUCCCCCAUCUAUGUCAUCAGGUCUAUUUCAGCCAUUCUUAUUCAGAUUUUAGGCAACCAGGUUGGUGAGACUUAAAAGAAUGCAACCUCUCUGAUAUUUCUAUGAGAAACCAUCUCAUGGCCAACUUUGUGUUUCUGUAGCUCUUGCAAUCUUUCCAUCCUCUCUUCUGCAAUGACCCUUGAGCAAUUGCUGGUUGAAGAUGUAUCAUUUGGGGCUGGUCUCUACAAAUCUGAAAAGUUUUAAAAUUUUUUUCCUGGUACUUUCUAUAUUUCGCAUCAUGCUCAUCAGUCCCACUGAUCUCCCAGGUCUCCUCGUAUCAGUCUUUCAUGCUUACAACAUCCCCUUCCUCAACCCCGCAACCUAAAAAGAAAUCUCAUUGUGGAAACUGAAGUGUGUCGCCAUGUGUAACACAGUAUGCCCUCCCCUUCCACUUCUUUGCUUGCAAAUAGUCAUUGCAAGGAGACAUGACUCUGAAUUUUGAUCAAUGUUGUUCUCUAUGCAUCGGUUUCCAGUUCAUGCAUGAUUCCCCUCUCGUUGAGUGGGAUAUCAAUCCAAGUAUACAAUGUUUGGUUGCCACCAAAGUAUGUGUGCCACUAUUGCACCCCUAGAGUUAUCACGCCAUGCUGGUGAUUAGGCUUCAUAGGCCUCAUUGCUGAGCAGGGCAAUUGGUUUCUUCCUUCCUUUUGAAACUUGCAUGGUGCAUUCUGGUGCUGUGAAAGCUAGUCUUCAGCAAGCAGGCUUUCUGGUCAGAUCCAAGGCUGGUCUUCUGGGUCCUGUGUCUCGAGUGCAUGGUGUCUUCAGCAACAGGGAUAUAUCUUCUUCUUGGAGGUAACCAAGGGCCACAGCAUUAACUCUUCUUAAAGAUAUUUCUUUUAGUUUAUUCAUUUGAAUUUCAGAUUAGUCAUGAUUUUAUGAAGUUAUCACUAUUUUGCAUAUAAUCUUUAGUGGUGUAAUAAUAUUGUAGUCAUUAGUCUUAGUAUUUUUAAAAAUUUAUCUUAUGUACCCAUUCUUUCAGAUUUUCAGCCGUGUGUACAAUGUAUUUUGACCAAAUCCACAUCUACCCUUCCUAAUUUCUUCACACCCUCUCAUGUCCCUUUCAUAACUCCAUAUCCUUUAUUGUUAUGUUUUCUUGUAGCUCACUGAGUUGAGUUAAUGCUGGCUCUAUAUGUAUAGAUAAUAGGCUGUCUACUACAGCAUGAGUGACUUACUAUAAGGCACACUCCUGAGAAACAGACUGCCGAUGGCUCUCAGCUACAUUGGGGCUGCUUCCUGAGUCCUUCCUCAUCUGUGCUGGGAAUGUCGACUGGUUUGAUCCUAUACAGGUUCUGUGCAGGUGGCCACAGCUGCUGGGACUUCAUAAGUGCAGUGGGCUCUGUUGAUGUCCAGAGGAUGUUGUUUUGCAUCAGUCCUCUCUGGCCUAUUUUUACAAAUGUACUGCGGAAGAUAUUCUAUAAUAGUAAUAAUGCAAUCCCUGCAUUGUUUCUUCUUCCUUUCUUGCAUUAACUAGAACUUCCAGAAUGAUAGUGAGUAGAAGAUAUUUAAUCUUUGUCUUUGUUCUCUCCUGGAGUUUACAGGGAAAGCUUUCAGCCUUUUCUCUGUGUUGAUAGCUCUGAGGUUUUCACAGAUGCUCUGUUAGUUAUGUUUGCUGAGAGUUCUUUGUUGUUGUUGUUGUCGUUUAAAUCAAAAAUCGAUUUUAGAGUUCAUCAAAUGGUUUCUUAUUUCUCUUUUAAUAUUAUUGUAGAGUUUUCUAAUUUAGUUGGUUAAUAGUGUGUCUCACAUUGAUUAGUGGUUUUUUUUUUAAUGUUCAGCCAAAUUUGUAUUUUUUAGUUAAAACUUACAUGACCUUGUAUCCUUAUUGUACACUGUUUUGUUCAAUUUAUGCUUGGAGCUAAAAUUAUGCUCGAAACGUUAACAUCUGUGUUCAUGAGGGAUAGUGUUCUAUAAUUUUGUUUUAUUUUUUGUCAUUUCUUUUUCCUGUUUUGUUGUCAAAGCAACACUGACUUUAUAGAAUAAAUUGGGAAUUAUUCCUUCCUUUUCAAUUUUCCAGAAGAGUUUAUGUAUAAUUGAUUAUAUUUCUUCCUUAAGUAUUUGGUAGAAUUUACAAUGAAGCCAAUUGAGCCUUCACGCUCACGUGGGAGGGUUUUACUUUCAAAUUCAAUUGCUUGCAGAGCUUUCUUUCUAAGAUCUGUUAGGUAAGAUCAGAACAGUAUUUAGUGUCAGGGCUCACUGCUGACAGAUACUCGCAAGGGCCCUGUUGAGUCUCUCAUGAAUUAUUAGGGUUUCCUGUCUGCCUGUCCAGAACAGGCCUGCUGUUGGCUGUGUAUGAGUGCUGGGAACUGGUCCCUCUUCUGGCAAGUUCCAUGCCCAGCUUCCGGAUGUUUCUUCACACACAUGCUGAUCAGGGCUCUGGGGAAUACUUACAUUCCCGUGAUCUAUUCUGAGAACUCUAAUUACAGAGCUCUCUCUGUGUGCUCUCAUCUAUGCAGUUCCGUGUUUCCUGGGCUCUGCCUGAUAUAUAGCUCCCUGAAGAUGGCCCAGACGUUCUCUCUCAGAAGCUAGUUGAGACAGGUCUAAGGCUCACCCGAUUUAUUUUUUCAUUUUUCCCAGGAAUGCUAUACUUACUGCCAGGCUGGAAGUUCCAGGGAGAUGUUGUCUCAUUUGUGAUUCUUAUACACAUUGGAAGUUAAAAAAUAUAUAUAACCUGGUAUUUCUCCUCCUCCAUUUUAGGUGGAAACACGAAUCCACCAUUUGCUCUCUAAUCCAGGGAAAUUGUAUGUGGAAUCAUCUUCCAGUGACAGCUAUUUGGCUGCUCUGACCGUGUCUAGCAAAGGACAUUCAGGCAGAGGAAUACAGAUCCCAUUCCUAGUCGUCAUGGCCAUGAGUCUUGGGAUGAAAACAUGCAAAGGAGAGUCCUUUCACAGAGCUAUAGAUGCUGGUGCCUUGCAUGUUUCUAUGGCUGAAGGUGCAGUGCCUCUGGAGGGCCAAGUUCAUGAAAUGAUAGGUUUCUGCCUGGCCUUCUGGGUGCUGCAGGAACUUGCCAACAAUCCAUCCAAGCCUGUGAUUCUGAGCUAACCAUGCUGCUUAUUUGCUAAGUGUGGAAGCGUUUAUGGAGGCCAAGGGGACCCUGUUUAUUUUAAGUGUCCUGUUGUGUUCCAUCAAUGCUAAUGGGGGUUGAGAAGCCAAAUCAGCACACAUUAUAUCCACUGGGAAAUUCACUCUCCAGGAUAUGAGUGGAAAAGUAACAACAGCCUCAACUUUAGGCGAAACUCACAAGGGCGCAAGUUGAAGAUAAUUGGAAAUUGCUUUGGACUGGCUGUGCGCAGAUGGCAGACUUCCUUUCUUACUAGGUGUGUUCUCGCAGAGGUUUGUGCUCACCAUGCACACAUAGUUUUUUUUUUUUUAACUAUAAACUGCUUUUAAAAAUCUAUGUGUGAGGAUAUGCACCCCACUACGGUGUCAGUGGGUACUUCCUUAAAGCAAAGAAGUCCCAUUACCCAGAGGAAUUGACUGACAGACUUCUGCGCACUGUUGCUUCGGUUGGUGGGUUUCUAGGCUGCUGAGAAGUUAACCAUUGUGUGCUUCUUCUGCACCAGGUAUUUGGUAGGAGCCUAAUGGAAGUUAUCCAAUUUAAUUUUCGUAACAAACAAGUAUGAAAAACUCUGAGAUCAUCUUAAAUGGCGAUCCAGAAGCCAUACAUCUUCUCAACAUGUAUCUACUUUCAAAUCCCAGGAUCUUUUAAAAAUAUUUUUUAUUAAUUCUUUGAGAGUGUAUACAUGUAUACAAUGUAUGUUGGUCAAAGUCACCCUGUUCCUCUCCUUAACGCCUUCCAGAUCCACCCACCUUCCUAUUUUUCUCCAGCCACUAUAUCUCUUUAUUCUAUUUGUUUGUUUCAUUUACUUACAACCCACAAAGUAUGAUCGUGUUGCCUAUAUUCAUAGCUAUGAAAGCAUCUGCUGGAGUGUGGUGACCAUGCAGAGUCCAAACCUUCAAAGAUUCUCUUCAAACUGAUUCUCUCUUCCCCAGAAGCCACCAAAUGUCAUUAGCUUCUGUCAUUGGGGGGAGGGGGGAAGGGCAGACUCAGGAUCCCAACCUCUUCCAUGAUGAAAUAUUGGUUGGCUUGAUCUUGUGUAACAGUUAUGUGCACCAACCACAACUGCUGUGAGCUCAUAUGUGCAGGGUUCUAUAUCAUGUGUACAAUACAGUGUUUUCCCCUAGUCUUCUACUACAUCUGGUCCCUAGACUUUUUUUUCUUCCCCUCUUCACAGUUGUUUCUGAGCCUUUGGGAAAGGGGGUUUGAUAUUAAUGUCCCAUUUGUGACAGAGCAUCUCCAAAAUAAUUAUUCUGUGAAUUUUAGCCAGUGUCAAGGUUUCUACAUGACUCACCACCCACUACCCAGUGUUACUUCUCUGAUGAGGUCUAAGAGUUGUAUUAAUCUAUGGGCCUAACAAUACUUGUGUAGAGGGUGGUCUGACACUAUGUCCAUUUAAGAAUAGAAGUAGGUUUACCCCUGAGGAUCAUGAACUCCUCCACCAUGGGUUACUGGCCAGAUGGACAGCAUCAGACACGCAUUUCCUCUUGUACACAGGCCCUUAAACCCAAUCAGAAAGUAGUUAAUUAACCCCACAACAUUUGUGCCACUAGUGUAUGGGUAGACACCAUAGUCUUCAUGGCUGGAUAAGACCACUGAUGGUUUGUCACCAAGCAGCCUGUGCAGCUAUGGUACUCUUAAAGCCAGUUAGGAAGGAAGACUCUUCUUUUGCAGUACCAACUUGAUUUCUCCAAGUCCUGCAUCCAAGAUGCGUACAUUACUUGACCUUCGAUUAUUCCUCCAGAGGAUGCUGCCUCGCCUUUGGACAGGUCUAUACGUACCCUAUUUACCGAAGUUGGGCUCUCUGAGAAAACAAAAAGUUCUCGUUCUUUGGAAUCAGCUAUUGUCUGGAAGAGUGACUUCACCGUGACAACCAUCUACUCAUUAAUUCUGCAGAUAUGCAAUAUAGAUUUUGAAGAGUUUGGGGGAAUAAAUCAAACUAGAUUUUUAAUUCAAUAAAUCUAGUGAUGGUGGCCAUGGAAGAUUCAAAUCCAACUUUUCCUGACAUCUAGGAGUGAUUUCUUUUGAUGAGCUCAGUCUGCAUUUCAAUACGUUUUAGUGUCACAUUGACUACUAGUAGGCUAGUGAACUAUAUUUCUUCCAGGGAUCACACAUGAUAGGGGUUAAAACUGUGGAGUAUGAACUAUUCUGCCCAAGUUCAUUUUUCCCUUCUAGAACAUGUCCACGGGAUGGCGUAUAGAUUACUUAACUUCUCUUUCCCUCAGUUGUCUUCAUUUAUAAAAAUGAAGGUUGAUAGUAAUCACAUGCCUUAUAGAGUUUUCAGGGGGGCUAAGGGACUACACUACCCUCUUAGGAUUCUGAUACCCUUCAUAACAGCUUCCUCCUAAUUCAGGAUUAGCCUUCUUGAAACCAAACUAACUGUUUUCACUGGUGCAGUAUUGCUACAGGUGGAAUAUUUUAUUGAAAAUGCUUGACACUAAAAAGGCUUCACAUUUUAAUUAUGACCAUAUUUAGGAACAGUUUCAUGAACUUUACCAGUUGGCUAGUUCAUUUAGAAAUCCCCAAGUCAUCCCAAAUCUAAAAAUAUCUGAAUAGUGCUAUCUCUUGGGUUUUAAAUGCCCUUUAAAGAACCAUUUUCAUAGGUUUUGGCCCCAUAUCGAUUCUGUAAAUUGAUUAACUCAGGUAUCAAUUACAGUAACAUGAGUGCAAUGAACAUAACUUGGUAUUAUUAAACCACAGACCUUUUCAGAUUGCCAGAUUAAGUAUAUUCACCACAGAUUGGAAGUCAUCAGAUUUCUCUUCUCAGUACAUUGUGACUUCACCUCACUACCCUUCAUAUUUGUCUUAGUGUAGUGGCUUUUGCACCAAGAUGACAUGGAACCAAUUUCUAAUAUAUCCAGAUGGUCUGCAAAUGACCUAAACUUUCAGAGACAGAAUUUCUCAUCUAUGACUGGGAGAUAAAAAUGCAUUCUUCAUCUGGGUUUUGUGAAUAUGAAAUGUGAAAUGACUUGUUACAGACUUAGCACAUUAGCAAUUUUUAUAUGUGAUUAAUAAAAAUAUUAAAUAUCCCAAUUGUCUAUGAGCAUUGACUUUGGAGUCAAUUCUGUUUGUAUAUAAGGCCUUCUUUCACUAACCAAGAGAGUAUUAUGUUUUUCAAGUUAGAUGGCUUCUCUCAAGCUCACCCAGUGCUUCAGUAUGUACAAUAAGACUCGUAUUCCUUAUCUCUCACAACUGUUGCAAAGAAUAAAUAAAUAAUGCCUAUAAAGUGUCAAGCACAAUACAAUACCUGAAAUGUAGUGCCUAUCAGCUACAACAGACACAAGUGCUAUUACAAUUCUCCUUAUUAUUCUUUCAUUUAUCUGGCUAUUACUGUUUCAACACCAUUAUAUGCUUAAAUAUCUUCAAGAUUCUGUACACACAAUCCAACUCACUACAUUUAAAUGGGGGAAGGAGACAUCGUGUGGAUCUCCCAUGUCUCUAGAUCACUAUUCAUCCUGAAAACAACACUAAGUUAGAAUGGACUACUGGAUGUACAAAGUGACUGCUACCAUGAAAACUUAGAUGUGAUUCCGGAAGUUCACAUGCACUUGUAGCCAUAACAGCAAGUUUCUAGGUCAUUCUUAGAGCACAGUAAUAAUUGUAACUGUGUGUUAAUUUAUUAUAGAAAUGUUCCAGUCUCAAGAUCCUAGUGAUCACUAGAAAGAGCGAUGGAGAAGCAUGGUGACAGUCCAAGGCCAGCGAAGCUGUUCUGUCUCUCUCGUGAUGCUCUGGUCUGAAAUACCAGCUCUUCUAUCAUUGAUAUCACAUUAACACAUGAUAUAUAUUAUCUGUCUGUAAUCUUUAAUUUUUUCCAGUGAGGAAGUGGUGACCCAGAAAGGUUAAAUGAAAUAUCUGAAGUCUCAUAUUUGGCUAAUGGAGGGGAGGGAUCAGAUUCUAACUCUUAGACAAUAAUUUCUAUUAUUACUUUCUUAGAAUUCCAGCUGUCACCAGUUUUUAAUUUUUCAGAGAGGUUUAGGGUCAUGCUACAUAGGGUCCUGGGGCCUUUUAGUGGCUGAUCUGAGACUGAGACCUGGUCCUAUUGACCCUCGUUGUACAUUGUACUGUUCUUCCCCAUUGCACAAUGGCAUUAAGAAAAUAUUGUCUUCCGAAUCUAACCGUUGAAAGUUCUGAAGCAUUAUUUUCUACCAUUCACAUCACCCAGUGGUGUUUUAAGCCUGUUUGCCAUGGCAACCAUCAACAUAUUUAGUUCCUCGGUGCAGGGUUGGAACAGCAACUGCAGCUUUGCUAUUGUUCCUGGCAAUGAAGAGGAACGUGCAGAGCCAAAGACCAGUUACCACUAAUCCUCUGCUCACAGUGAUGGAGACCGCUCAGAUGCUGGACCAAAAUCCAGCCUUCUUGCUGUAUGUUAAGCAUUCAGACAAUAAAAGCAGGGUAACAAUGGUAGAUUAGAGUCACCUUGAGCACCUUCCUGUUGCUCAUUGUGUUCUCUGUCUUCUCUGCUUUUUCUUCUUUUUCUUUCUUCUCUGAAUGACAAUAGACCUCAAAGCUACUUUACCAAUUUCAACAAAGCAGACAAAUGCGCACCAUCACAUUCCAAAUCUCCAAGAGACUAAAGGCUGGACUUCUGGAGAAACAUAAAUACAUCUAAAUAGUUUGUUUAUUUUCCCCAUCAUCUUUUAUAUGAUUUGCCUUCUUUUAAUAUCUUUAGCAACAAACCUUAUAUGUGAUGGAGAGGGGUGUCAAGAAUGUUUGGUAUUUCUGCUAAAGAUACGUAGUGCUUGAGAAAGGGUUUGGUGUUGGCUGACCCCUAAGGAGACAAAUUUAUCAGGGGAAGCAAGAGGAGGCCGCCUGACGGUAGCAGGCAGCUAGAAGGCCUGAGGGCUAAAGCCAUUUCUUGCCAUAGUCAUGUGACACUUCAAAAAUAAUUUCCCAGUUUGACAUUACUGAUAAGGCAGCACAUUGUAUUAGAAGGCCCUUCACAAAAAUCCUGGGGAGGGAGGGACUCUACUGUGUUUAUAUCAUGGAUUAUAAAUGAAUACACUAAUUAGCAUUAAGUGGACAAGUUGUGUGUGUGAGGGGGAGGGCAGCUAUCUGGGCCAUGGCUUUGUUCUCCAGCCCAGAUGUUGUGCCAGCUGCAGGGUGAUGAGGGAGCCUGUGGACCUCACCUUCUCUACUUAUCUGGUUCAUAGCUGGAGGCUUCUCUCUUUGGCUGCCCAUCUGGCUCCUGGCAUCAGGAAGUAAAAUUAUUUUUUUUCCAAAUGGAAGGCUUUGAAUCACAGCUGUUAAUUACCAGAUGAUUAUUAAAAACAUAUAUUGCCUACUGAGGUUUGAGGAGACAGCUCAUUCGUGCUGUCUGGUCCACCCUAGUGGCUCCCAGCAUCAACCCAUAUAUGCUUCGUCUAAAAACACACCAUGGCUUUACAGCACAUGCAGGGAACAUGCAAUGGGGAAGGAUAGUGAAGAGACUAUAGGAUACCACUUAAAGUCAUCAAGACAGUCCCUGAGUGUUGACUGCCUUAGCCCAGUGCUGGGAUCAGAUUACAAUUUGGGAGACUUUCAAACACCUGCAGCCCCUCUAAUGGGGCUGACUAGACCUGUUCACCAAUAAUGACCAGAAAGAAGGAAAGAAAAAAGGCCCAGCAGACGGGCGCUAAUAAAUUAUAGAUUUCAGCUGCAUACUGGGUUGCUGGAACUCAGAUGAGAGACAGAUGGAGUCUGCCUGAACAGCACAGCCUGGGGGUGGAGAGAGCAGGCAGGGAGAUGCAGAUACUUUGCAAGACAGAGGAAAUGCCUGGAAGUUACAGCUGGACAAGGAAACAAGAGAGCUUGGGCUUAAAUAGUGUGUUGGAAGAGGAAGGAGAACUCUGAUGCUCUCUACCCAUAGCACACAUGGUCUCAUUCUGGGCUCCUAAGUCCAGGGAACAACAUGUUGUGUCCUAUUACCAAGGAGUUCCCUGUCAUUACUCAAUAUUCUGCAUGCUACUAGGAAUGGUAGGAAAGACUGUCAUUGAAGAUGAAUACUCUUUGUGGAGUUCAUAACCUAAGAGGUGAUAAAGGCUCUAGUGAAUGUGCCAGUUCACAAGCCAAAAAGGACAGCAGAUAAGUGUUGACUUCACGUACUCAAUAAAUGUUUAUUGAAUGUGCAUCAUAAUGUGUGUCAAAUACUGCAUCAAUGGGCACCAUGGGAAAAAAAAUCUUGACUCUUGCUGAGUCUCUGUUUGAGCAGGAUGAGUCAGACAGUAUCAUAUUUGAGGUUUUAAAGUGUAUAUGAUAUUAUAGACAGCCAUGUAGAGGAAAAUGAAUGAGAUUAGAUCCAUCCUGAUGGAGGUGAGCAUGGGUGUAAGUAAUAGGAUCAGGCUAUGGAGAUGAAGUGACAUGAAGAGGUAUCCAAGACAGAGGAUGUGGCUUGCAAUUAAGGUUUGGUAACAGAGGCAAGCCUGGCAUGUUCUAGAAAGAAGCCAGUGGUUUGGGUAGUAAGAGAAAGGACAGUACAAGGGCACAGACAAUAAGGACAGAGAGCAAAAAGAGACCUUGAAGACUGAUAGGAAAAAAUACUUAUCUUCCUAGGUCUGGAACAUGCUAGGCACAUACUCUACUUGAGACUCUAUGUCCAGCUUCUUUUUCACUCUAUUUUUGAAACAGAGCUUAGCUAAGUAGAACAGGAUAGAUCUGAAAUUGCUCUUUAGCCCCCAACGGCCCUGGACUUAUAAUCCUCCUGUCUAAACAUCUUGAGUAUCUAGCAUUGCAGGCCUGCCUAAUACCUUUUUGUUAGAAAUGAGAGGGGAAUCCGUUGAGUGGUCACAAGCUGAGAAAAUACCACUGAGUCUCCCCAUGAUAAGAUCCUGGUCUCUGUGAUGUGCUAAAAUCACUCGGAGAGCUGUUGAGUUGGGAACCACUGUGCCAUUCCUGUAGGUUCAGGGGACUCAGGGCAGAGGUGAGGCAACUGUUCUUCUAAUCAGCCUCUGCAGCUACUGCUGUUGGUCUUGAAUACCGCAGCCUAAGAAUUAAACCAGGUUGUCUGUUGAGGCAUUGCUCACACUAGGCAAGAUUUAGACUCAAGCUGCCUGCUCACUGGUGGAUGUAUGAAUAGAGAAAAUGCUGUCAUAUAUUCAAUGGGCUAUCCUUCAUUCACCAACAGCGUGAAAGUCCAUCAUCUGCAGCAACAUGGAUGCAACUUGACAACAUUAAUUAAUUAAAAUAAAAUGGACAAACAUGCUCUUGCUUGUAUGUGGGAGCUAAGCUGGAUCUCACAGAAAGAGAGGCUUUUCUAGAAUCUGGAAAAGAUGGAAAGGGGAACGAGUAGAGGAAAGGCUGUUAAUGGGUUCUGAGGCACAGGUGGCCAGGACGGAUGGCUUUCUAGUGUUCUCUAUUGUACAAUAGAAUAACCGUGGUUGGUAAUAAGGCUAAUAAUACAGCAUAACUAAUUAGGCAAAGAGAUGAUAUGUGUUUGAGGCAGUUGGUAUACCAAUUACCCUAACUGAAUUUUGAAACGUUGUAUACACAUACUGAAACGCCACUCUAUGUCGCAGAAGUACAUAUGUAAUAUUACAAUGUCACUUAAAAAUAACAAGAAAAACAUGUUUCAGUGAAGCUGUGCUAUAACAGAAAUAAGAGAAAAGAUGAGGAAUAAGGUAUGUGAGACCUCUGCUUACAGGGGGUAUCUUGGUUUAGGGGAUGGAGAGGGUCAUUAAAGGAAAAAAGGCUUCCAUGAACAGUUGAAGAAGGCAUUGUGUUUUCUUUCCUAUUCUACAUGCUGCUGUAGAAUUUAGAGUGGUUUCUGGGUAAGAUAUGGCGCUGUAUAAAGCAUUUAUCUACAGACUUAACCUUUAAGAGUGCUCUCUGAAACCUUAUAUAAGUUGUGGUAAGUUCUAUCGUCUCUGCUACACCUUUUCAAAUUUCCCACUAUUCUACUAUGUCUAAAGCAAAGGGGAGGUCUCUCAAAUCUAUGUCUCCAUUGGUCUUCCCUAGUGUUCAUCUGCCUUUUUGUCUCCUGGCACCUCCUUCCCUUUUGUGGACACUUGUCUGCUGUCUUUGUUGGACAUGAACUUUUUUCUAGGCUGAUUGAUCCUGGCCCAAGGGUGUUGUGAGGGACAGGCUUUUACUGAAGGCUUCAGACAUAAUGUAGUAGCACCGAAAAUAGUUUAAAAAGAGCUACCAAGCAUCACAGCCCUUAAAGUCUUUUCUGCCAUCCCUGUCACUGGGAGUUAGGAAAUGUCCUUUUGGCUAUUAUCCCCCAAACUUCAGUCUGAUGGUUUGUAACCAGGUUCAUUUCUUUCUCCUACGAACUUCUUCUUCAAUACUACUGAAGCCGAAUCCCUCCUCACUUUGUCAGAUCAACUCCAUAAUCUCUCUUCCAUUCCUAUGCAGAGCAGAUUAGCCUGACGCCAUCUACAUCCCCUUCCUCCACUUUGGAUUGGUGAACUGAGCUGUGGGUGCUUCUCCAAGAAGAGCAGUGUUCCUCUAGGAAGGCAAAUACUAUGUUCCCUUGGAACACUUGCCUUCCAAAGCAGUCAAUUUAUAAGGGAGUGCUUUUCUCCCAUUUUUCUAAUUACACACAAGGGAGCAAGGUCAGAUGUAUUUUAAAUAUAUCUUUAAGUGUGGGGAAACUGGAAUCAAAGUAAGAAAAUAAGGUAAAUCCAGCCCACUUAACAGAUGGCUUUAUGCUCCAACCGUCACGGGAAGACAGCUACAAAUCUUGCUUUCCCUCAACUUCAUCGAAACGGGGGUACCAAGCUAUGGGGGGCUGUUUAUGAGUUAGGAAGAUCAGCUUACCACAGCAGAAGGAGUACUUGCUAAUUAGGUGAGUUAGAGGGGGAAGCUGACAAACAUGGGGGUGGUGCGUAGACUAAAUAUGAUAUAAAGCAGCCCCCCUGUAAGGUUUUUGUUCAGAGGAAGAUAGAUUUUAAACAUGUAUCUAAGACUUGAAGGUGGAUUAUCGAACAUUGAGGAUGGAAUCAGGGACACCGGGCAUCUUAGUUCACUUUCUAUCACUGUGAUAAAACAUCCUGACCAAAUGCACCUUGGUGGAGAAAGGGUUUAUGUCAGCUUACAGCUUAUGGUCCACCAUGAAGAGAAGUCAGGGCAGAAACUCAAGGCAGGUCCUCCAUUCAGAUGUCAAACUCAAUAGACUGCAUUCUAAUCUGAAGCUUUUUAUCAUUAUGCAUUAUCACCCACAUCUGUACUGCAUUAUCCCAUACUCCUCUGUGCUAGUGUUAUUCUAUUCCAUGUCAGACAAAAGCUUAUGAUCUAGUUCCUGCCCUCGCUAUGCUUACUCCCUAAAAGAAUACACAACCACAGCCUACAGUCCAGAAGAAAUCACAUACAGGGGCUAGGUCCCAGCUACGAUUUCCAUUGCUAGCAUUUUGGGAAAUAAGCUUGCGGAGGGGAAGAAGUAGAUAACAAACCGGGCUGUUAUCACACUCUCUUUAGACAUACACUAGCACAGCGGAGUAUGGGAUAACAGUACGGAGGUGGAUCAUAGUGUGUAAUGAUAAAAAGCAUGAGUUUAGAAUCCAGUCUAUUGGAUUUGCCAUCUGAAAUGUCCUGGCAUUUACCAGCACCAUGACCUUGAACAAAUUCCAUACCCUCUGUCUGUGUUUUUUAAAUCUGUACAGAGGUUGGUGAGGAGGCUCCAGUGAGUCGGUAUGUAUAAGGAAUGUCAGUGCUAGCAGGGCAGAUGCUUGAAUUCAGAAUGGACAUAGCAGGGCACAGGAAAGGCCCCAGUAAGGGUGCCUGCUCCAGCCAGGUGGCAAAUACAGAUUUGAUAAGGGGCAAGCUAGGUGGCAGCUCCCUGGUCAAGAAAAAAAUGGAGAAAGGUAGUGAAUAUUGGAAGAAUUCCCACAAAACUGCCUCUUCCUGACCCAUCAUGAAGAAAGGGCUCAAGCUUCAGGAUGACUGUGCUAACAGGCCAAGGGGUGGCUUAGCUCCUGGCAGCUUAGAGGUGUGCUCUGGCUGAGGGCAAGGCCGAGGAGGCUGUGCUUAGUCAUAUCUGUGCUUGUAGCUGUUGUGCCUUUAACUCUAGGAGCCCUGGUGAGGUCUGACCCUCCGUUAAUGUCCUUGCUUGGCUUUGCAAUGAAAGCAAAUCCCCUGCAUCAUGGGAUGCUUCAGUUCCACUUUGGGCGGUACCCUCUCUGUCUGUAUCGAUCACCUGAUAUGGACUGAAUGUUUACUAUAGCUACAGGAUCAUUAAACACAGUGGAGCAUCCCAUAUGUAUUGGUGUGGUGGAUUCUUUGGGCUUGAACUUAGCUGCCUGAUGGAACAAUGUGUUGCUAAGAAGAGAGUAAACAAAAACUUGUGUCAAUCAAUCUCUAGCCAAACAGAACAACGCUGGAUGUAUCAGAAUACCUGAUUUCAAAGUAUACCACAGAGCCAUAGUAAAAAGAACAGUGUGGCAUGAGGGAGAAAACAGGUGCAAACACAGGCAGAGUAGAAUCGAAGGCCCAGAAAUAAGUCUAUGCCACCAACACUAUUUUAUUUUCAACAAAGCUGCUGCAAAAUGUUUUAGAAGAAAGACAGCCUCUUCAACGAAAUUGUUUUGAGAAAACUAGAUAUCCAAUAAUUGAAAGGUGAAACUGAAUUUCUGUCUUUCACCCUUUACAAAAUCAGUUUACAGGGGAUGGAAGACCUUAAUGGAAAACCCGACACUACAGAAAAGCACAGGGAAAUCCCUUACAUAGGCACAGGCAAGGAAAUUCGGGAAAGGAUGCCAGUAAACUAGGAAAUACCAGCAAGAAUUGAAGAACAGCAUGCAACUGGAAAGCUUCGCACACAGCACGAGAAACAAACAAGAAGUGGGGAGACCACCUAUAGGGCGAGGGAAAAAUCUUUGACAGCAUUUCAACCUUCAGCUAAUUACCACCUAGAAUACACAAAGAGCUCAAAAUACUUGAAUACCCAAACUAUAAAUAAUCCAGUCAAUAAAUGAUCAAAUGAGUUUGUAGAAUUUUUUUUUUCAAUUGAAGACAUUCCGGGCCAGUAAGUACACAGUUAAAGUGUUCCACAUUACAGCAGUGUAAAUACGAAUCAGGAUCACACGGAGAAUACACUGAGAAAUCAGGAUUACAGUGAGAAUAGCUAUGACCAAGAAAGCAAAAGCCAGUGUAGGCCAUUGAGGAUAAAGAAGAAAAAUCUCUACUGAUGAGGGUGCAAUUUAAGUAGCACACUACACGGGUGCAUAUAUAUAUAUUGGAAUACUCCUCAAAAUAUCCAGGAAAUCAUUUGAGAUUUCCAUCUACUGACAAAUGAAAAGAGAGUACGUGGUAUACAUGCACGCAGGGGGAUUUUAUCCAGACACAAAGAAGAAGCUGGGAGAAACAAUGUGUAGAAGGUAAGAUUUAUCCUGGGUCAUGGUCUCAGGGGUUCCUACCUGUUUACCACAGGAGGGGAUGGGGGAUGGGGCAGCAAGAACAUUCUGGUGAAGCUGUUCUCAGGGCAGGAUACCAAGAAGCAAAGGCACAGAAAACCAGAGGCUGUGCUAUAAUCUUCAAAGAUCCACACCGUGUGACAGCAGCUUCUAUAAAGGAAAACAUUUCAUUGGAGCCUGCUUAUACUUCAGAUGUUCAGUCCAUUGUCUUCAUGGUGGGAAGGAUGGCAGUGCAUAGGCAGACAUGGUGCUAUCUGGAUCCCCAGCAGUAGCGGGGGGGGGGGGUUGAGGGAAAGAGAGAAGAGAGGGAGAGAGAGAGAGAGAGAGAGAGAGAGAGAGAGAGAGAGAGAGAGAGAGACUGGGGGUAUGGCUCAGUGAUAUGCCAACGCUAUAUCUCCUAAGGGUCCUAAACCUCCCCAAAUAGCUUUGCUAGAGGGAGCUAAGGAUUCAAACCAGGGCACCCUGAAAGGCAUUUCAGAUUCCAGUCAUAAUAGGGAUCCUUGGGAAAUGAAACGGGGAGGGGAAGUAAAGGGACCGUGAUAAUCAAGAGCAAGGGAAGAGAUGCAUACGAACAAUACAUGCUACCAAAAUAACAACAAAACCAAAACAACAAAAAAGCAGGCACAGGAAAGAAUUCUCACAGACUUGGCUGCGUCAAAAGUUUUAAACAUGAAAGCAAAAGUGGCUACCUUGAGGAAGCCUCCAGGGACGGCAAGCUAGGGAGCUAAGAUCAGCAGGAGGAAGCUUAUCGCUCUCUGCCCUUCAGCUCCUGUUUACUGGGUUUUGAGUUUUAUAUCUCAAUACUCAUGAGGACACUGCUUAUUUUUUAAAUUAAAAUUCAUCAGGAUAAAGGAAUUUUUGUAAAAUAAGUUAAAUUUCAUAGCAUAGAUUGGUUUGCAAUUUAUACCCAGUUAACACACAAUAAGAAACUCUGUUUCAAAGUAUACAAAGUAUAUGCUCUGGGUGACAACUGCCACAGACACCAAAACAUUUAUCAGCAAUUUCUAGAGCAGCACUUUGCUCAUUAGUAAUCACUUCCCUUUCACUUCCUCCAAAUUCCUGGAGAGCUUGUAUCUACAUUCUGACUGGGCUGCCCUCAUCUGCAUAGUCCAUAUGUAUAGAACUAUUCUGUCUGUCUGUAAUAUGGCUAUGAUAUGAUAUGAUAUGAUAUGAUAUAUGACUCUUCAUGUUUGAAUUCUUUGCUUAGCACAAUGUUGUCAUCAUUCAUGAAUAUUGUAACAUAGCUUGGUGACCUGUGUCCAUUUUCAGCUGAAUGGUCCACUCUGUGAAUGCACUGUAUUUUUUUUUUUUAAUCCAUGCAUGGAGUAGUAGAACCUUUGGGAACGUCUACUCUGGAGCUGUCAUUAAAGACGCUGUUCAAAAUGUUUGCACACAGGACCUACUUGAUGAAAACUUUCAAUUUUCUUUACUUAGGAAAUAUACUUAGGACAGAGUUCCUGGGUUGUGUGGCAAUCCUGUUGAACAUUUUGAGGAACUGUCAACUGCCUUCCAAAGUAGCCUCAGCGUCUUUUCUUCCCACCUACAGGGGAGUCUCUACUUCCCUUCAAACCUUUACUAGUAUCUGUGUCUUCUUGUGAUUUUACUUCACUUUACAAAAGAUUAAUGAUGUUAAGCACAUUUCUAUGUGAGUACUACCCAUUUGUGUAAAUUUCCAAAUCUUUAGAUUUUAACAUGCUCUACUUGAGGUUGGAAUGACAGAUCUCAAUAAAAAAUAUCAGGUGAGCACAUAUCCCCUCUAAAGACACAGAUAUAAGGCUUGAUAGAAUAACACCGGAUUUACAGGGAUUUUUAAACUCCCUGUGUGGUGCUUGAGGUGUGGUGUUUGCGUCCAUGUAUGCUUGUGGGAUGUGUGUGUGUGUGUGUGUGUGUGUGUUUGUGUUUGUAUACAUGUUCAUGGAUCCCAUUGUGUAUAUGUCAGAGGACAAGUGUGGGAAUUAUAUCUCUCCUUGCAAUGUGUGAGUCUUGUGGAUUGAAAUCAAGUUCUCAGGUUGAUAGCAAGUGCCUUUACCUACCAUGUCACCUCACUGACUGAAGAUUAGACUUUGUUACAACACACAGACAGAGGACUGCUGAGAAUAAGGUGGUAAGAACCCUAGCUGUUCCUCCAGAGGACUCGAGUUUGCUUUCCAGCUUCCAGGCCUGCUGGCUCAUAGUCCCACCUAAGGGAGUCUGCCAGUGUUCCUCCAGCCUCCAUGGGCUGGCGGUCACAUAAGUCAGACGCACGGACACAUUCACAUGCACAUAAAUAUAAAAAUUAAAGCAAUCUAAAAAAUAUGUACAGAGAGUUGCCAGGGUGGGGUCAGAAAGAGGAAAGAAUUUCUAAUAGGAAGGAAAGAGUAAGAGUCCUUGCAUUGUAUGUAGAGGAAAACGGAAAAGAGGAAAAGAGCAAAAACGAAAGCCAAGUUAUCUGUACAAACUAGAAAUGGGCUUGCAGCACCUCUGACAGAUCAACAUUCAGAUUCCAGGGUUUCUGUUGGGAUCAGUAAUCUGUCUGAGGUCAGUUUCUCCCUGACGUAAAACACUCUAUGAAAAGGUCUGCCAAUUGCAGAGACUAGACCGUUAGAUCCCACCAGGUCUCCCCUAACGCAGAGUUACACUUAGGGGACCUUUACUCAAAGCUCCAGCACAACGGACCCUAAGUCAGCUCUCUUUGUGUUUUCCAGUCUGUGAAACACCUCUUAUGAAAACAAAAUAGUCUUCACUUAUCAUUUCCCAACCCAGAAAUUAAUAAUAAUAAUAAUAAUAAUAAUAAGAUAAUAAUUAUAAAGCAGACUGACUCCUGUUUCUAACAUCUUGUGGGACCCAUGUCUGCUCUCCCCGCCCCCAGUGCCAAUGUGGACUUUGUCUAUGAUUUUUCAGGUGCAAACUCUUGACCCUGAUUUUAUUCUACUAAGGGGAUGCAGAAGGAAAAUCAGAAGCCUUGCGAAUCCUCCUCUUCCGUGCCUUCAGCUGCCCUCUUAAGAUCUGAGAUGUGUACACUAGUCCCCCUUUCAUGUUGCUCAAAAUAACAUCCUUAGUCUCAUCAGGCAGGUCAGCGCUCCGGCUCCAUGCUGCUCUUCCAUUUGUGAGCAAGAUCAAAGUGCUUCCUUGUAUAUGAUUUUAUUUAAUCAACUCCCAAUUCCUCUAGAAAGGGCUCUUAACUGCUCCUGUUUACCCCUCUUCUUCCAGCUCAUUUUGCACAGCUUCAAACACAACUGACCCUCAUCCUGGCCCACUAAUAGAAAAUUAAGGUCAUGUCUGGGGCACCGAUCAUCACCUUUGCAGACUUGCACACAGGCUGCGCAUGCCUAUGCCAAUCUUUUCAAUCUCCUCCUUGAUUCAGGGGAAGCAGUCAGAGCAGAAUUGCGCCUGCACAUUGGCUGCAGAGCUCCCUUGAAGCAAUCCACCAACUGUUGAAAACUACAUCAGUGACUUAGUCCACCACAUCUAUCUAUGGAGCAAAGAGCACGCUCAACCCAACUCCAGAGAGUUCCACUCCUUCAUAAAGCAAUACCUUUUGGAUUCAGCAUGCUAGUUAGUGCUGACACCUGUCUUUAUACUUCCACAGUGCCUUAGUGGGCGUGGUUAAUGCCUUCAUCUGUUUCUACACUUUGCCAACCUCAUGAGCUCUUAGGUUUGACAUAAGACAAUACUUAGAAAUAGACCUGUGAUUGCUAGUUAGCAGUCUGUUAGUUGCUGAGUUUUAGUGUAUGUGAAUGCAGGAAGUGGUUUGAGUAUAUAGUGAAUAUAUAGAUCUCUCUUUAUAUAUUGUAAUAUACAUAUAUGUAUAUACAUAUAUAUGUAAACACAUGUUCCCAGGAGUGGGUACAACGCCAGAGAAGGCUGUCAGGUGUCCCGCUCCAUCACUUGCCACCUUAUUUCUUCGAGACAGAGCUGUUAUUGAACCUGAUAGCCAGCAGAUCCAAGCAAUCCUCCUGUCUCUGCUUCCCACAGCUGCACAGUUAGCCUGUUUUGGUUGUGGCUUUUAUGAGGAUCCUUGGGAUUUGAACUCAGUUCCUCAGGCUUGUAUAGCAAGUAUUAUUAUCCACUGAGCCAUCUCAUCGUCCUCUGAACCAUUUCUUAACGAGAUGAUCUUGAAGAUAUUUUACUGAAUCUUUGCUGACUUCCAUUUAUUCAUCUGUAAAGUGAAGAUAAUUAAGGGACCUUCUUUUGGGUCUGUCAUGAGAAUUAAUGAGUUAGGAUGUAGCAAGUUCUUAGUACAAUAGAAAGCUUCAAGCUGGUCUUGCAUUGUGUUCCAUAGUCACACAGUUGGUUACUCCCAUGUCUAGUCUUCCAAGCUGGAAACACCAGAGCCGUUGUAAAUAUUCCUUUACUUCUGGUUUCUUCUUGCUGAAUCAAUUGUCCUUUCCCCUGUGUAAUGGAACUCUCCAGAACCCACCAUCUCUGGUCCGUUCCAGUGCCAUUGGUCAACUCAGACUUCCAGAGGCGUCAGUGAUCUUGUUUCCGUUCUCAGCCUCACUGAGGUUAGUCUCUAAAGCAUAUAACCCAUUCCUUCAAAGUGAAUAAUUAAUUUGAACGCCACAUUAACCAUGUGAAUGUCAGCAGGGAAAAACCCUAAGGCACUACACCCAUUAUGGUUUUGAUAAUGGGUUCCUGUCUUCAUCAGUGUUCUAUUGCUGUGAAGUGGACACCAUGGCCACAGCAGCUUCUUUUUUUUUCAUUUUUUUCCAUUUUUUAUUAGGUAUUUAGCUCAUUUACAUUUCCAAUGCUAUACCAAGAGUCCCCCAUACCCACCCACCCCCACUCCCCUAACCACCCACUCCCCCUUUUUGGCCCUGGUGUUCCCCUGUACUGGGGCAUAUAAAGUUUGCGUGUCCAAUGGGCCUCUCUUUCCAGUGAUGGCCGACUAGGCCAUCUUUUGAUACAUAUGCAGCUAGAGUCAAGAGCUCCGGGGUACUGGUUAGUUCAUAAUGUUGUUCCACCUAUAGGGUUGCAGAUCCCUUUAGCUCCUUGGGUACUUUCUCUAGCUCCUCCAUUGGGAUCCCUGUGAUCCAUCCCACAGCAGCUUCUAUAAAGGAAAACAUUUCAUUGGAGCCUGCUUAUACUUCAGAUGUUCAGUCCAUUGUCUUCAUGGUGGGAAGGAUGGCAGUGCAUAGGCAGACAUGGUGCUAUCUGGAUCCCCAGCAGUAGCGGGGGAGGGGGGUUGAGGGAAAGAGAGAAGAGAGGGAGAGAGAGAGAGAGAGAGAGAGAGAGAGACUGGGGGUAUGGCUCAGUGAUAUACUUCCUCCAGAAAGGCCAUACCUACUCCAAAAAUGGCUACACCUCCCAAUAGUGCCACUCCCUAUGAACCUGUGGGGCCAUUUUCCUUCAAAAAAAAAUCACGCUGAUAUUUUUUUCCUGAGUUUUAGUAUUCACCAGGAAGUCUCAUUAUCUCAAGCCGAUAGUGUUGUAUAGGGCAUCAUAUUUACAUAGAUGGUUGUAUGUAUUUGCAGAGGGCACCGAAGUAUCUCAGAAAUGCUUAGAGCUGUGGGCAGUUUCUUUCCACACGGUAUUUAGUAGAAGCCUCGGCAUGCCCUCUGCAUUCUCCUUGUGUGCAUGUCCUUGCACCCAGCUGCAUGUUCCCUUCAUUUCUAGGGAUUCUGCUGUCAUGUUCACUCUCAUGCACCGAGGUAAUAAUCAUUGACUAAUGCAUAGCAUUUGUAUGGAGAGCAUAAUGACUGGACACAUGCUUAUGCCUUAGUUUAGUGAAGGCCAUUUAUAUUGGCUGACAACUGUGUUACUAUUUGAAAAUGCCACUGCCUUUGAACUACAUCCAAAUGCCCACAGGUCACUAGGUGUGUCUGGUCCUUGCUGCAAAAUAAAGAGCUCCAGCUCUUCUUUCCUCUUGUAGCCUCCUAACCACCAUUUCACAUCCUAGCAUUUUAUAACUCAAUUAAAAUUAAUCCUGAAUUGUUCCUUUUAAUAGCUACAUAACUAUAUAUCAUAUAGGUAUACUAUAAUUUAUCUAUAUUACAGUAUUGUUGACCAUUAAGAUUUUCAAUGAUCUGGUGUUAUGAAUGAUACUCUAAAGAACUGUGCUGCACAGUAAUGUUUUUGACUGCAUCAAUAAAAAGUCUUUGGAACCACUAAUUGCCAACUGAAAGUUUACUUAAGUAGCAGCUGACUGCAGAGUCUCUUGUAUAGAUGUAUCCCCACAGCAAAGGGACACUAUGGUGGUACUGAGCAGGGUAGGAAGUCAUGGCGGGAGGAGGACCCAUGGAAUGCUGUAUGAGUCAAAGGCUUUGGGCUCGUCAUUCUCUGCAGCUCUCCUGACUCUGAAGCCGAGUUCCUGGGUGAAUGAGGAACAGUUUUCACUGUCAUUCUAUCAAGAAAUCGCAUUUGAAAAAAAUGCAACAGUCUUUCUGAUAGUAUCCUAGAGCCAGGUGCUGUGCACACAUUUAACCCCAGCAGACAGAGGCAGGUAGUCCUCUGUGAAUUCAAGGAUAGCCAAGGCCAAGUACUGAGACCCUGUCUCAAAACACACAACAAAUGUACAACAAUAAAAGAUAUCCCUGCCCCCAAAUUCCUCACAUGGUAACACAGUAUACUCUUGACCCUUUCUGCUCUUGAUGAAUAACUUUCAACUUAGUGAUUCUGUCUUCUCUCUUUCCCUUCCACCCUCCCUUCCUCUCUUCCUCCCCUCCUCAUUGACUCCUUUUCCUGCCUCCUUAUUUCCCAUCAUUUCAGUAAGCAGGGAUGGUGAGCCAAACACAUGUUUAGUUGUAUGCUCGGCAGAGCAGCCCAGAUGUUCAGGAGACACGGGUCAUCCUAGAGGACAACCCUCAUCAUCUGCAGGGUGCUGUCACUCUCACCUCCAACUGUGCUUUGAAGUUGUUGAGAUUCCCAAAUGUUCCUUGCGCUGUGGCUUUCCCUUAGUUUAUGGCAAAUGUGCUAUCAGCAUUCUGCCCUUUGUUUGACUCUGAGACGUGUCACCGGGCGCAAAUGACUAUUUCUCUGAAAUGCUGAGCUUCCAAGCUAGUCGCUACUCUGAUUAUUGCCACUAUUAAUAAUGUUAUCAAUGAUCCACAUAGAAAUAUUCGCAAUAUCUGUACCAUCAUGUCCCCUGUGCCACCACUCACAAUCCCCGUUGCUAUAUUUCUUUUCAUCAUUUUGUGUGACAGCACCCAGGGGCUGUUCAGACAAUUAGGAUCCAAUAAAAAAAGGAAAGAAUAAUUAAAAUAAUACCAAGAGAAACGGAAACCAGAUGACAAACACUGAAAAAGCUAAGAAAACCUAACCAAGAGCCUUAUUUCACAGUGACAGGUGUUAAUAAGAUCAACUAGAAAUACGGGACAAAACCCUUCCCGGGAACUUGAGAACACUCUCCUCCUUUCUCAUCAGCCUUUUUGCCACUGAGGUCUCAAGGGCUCCUGGAUUGUAUCACAGUUAUUUAGCUGAAGCUGCCAAGAGUGUGCUACAGGAGGAAGGAUGAAUAAAAGAAAGCUCUCUCAGUAUGGGAGCCAGGCUGAAGAGAAGUCUCCCUCUGAGGAAGGCGAGAAUCUGGCAGGUCUCCCAGGCUUUCUUGCAGAAAUACCCGAACUCUGCAACAGCUUUGCAGAGUUGAGAAUUUCCCCUUUCCCUAUCUUAUAUGCUUUGGUCCUCAGUGGCUCCAUCUGAAAAAUGGAUAUAAUAUUGGGGUGCACAACUUAAGAAAAACAUCAAGUGAAAGACCUGCCGAUGCAGAGAAUAGGAACACGGUGGUCAUUUUGAUGAAGGAAAUUGGGAUUAAAAAGCUGAGUGGGGGGUCUCGGCAGUGAAAGCCUGCCCUGCUUUUUCAGAAGAGUAGAGUUUUCUGGGUGACUCAAAACUGCCGGUCGCUCCAGUUCCAGGGCUCUGACCUCCUCUUCUGGCUUGCCAUCUGUGAAACAAAAUCAUGUAGGAAAAAUCAUUCAUGCCAGUUUAGUUUCGCAUAUGCCCUAACCAGGGGCUUGAUUCUGAAGUAAGAACACAUGUUUGAGUGUUCCUGUCAGUACAUGCAUAGUUCCUGUCCCUGGGUAUCAUGUGCUUCAUCAUUGUGAUUACAUAUCCUGCUGCUCCUUGAUUCAGCUGAUCGUGUGACUAAGGUCAGUGUGGCUGGGCUCUUCUUGAAUGAGAUGGAGAAGGCAAAGGCCGGAGAUUGCCAGAGUUUAGGCUUCCCCAAGGUCAGUGUGGUAAGUGCCUAUCUCCAUGGCGGUGCCAUCAGGAGCUGGCUGAGCCCUACAGAGGAGACCUUGUGUGAGGUCUUCAUGUUGUUGCCAUGCCCCUAAGUAGAUAAGGUAACCAUGGCCACACUUCUUUCUAUUGUUUUCUAGUUCACUUCCUAGUCACAAGGUGAUCGAUUUUGUGAUGCCCGCCCCCCCCCAACUUAUAACUGCUACAAACACUAAGCAAAUGGAUAUUUCAGCAUGACAAAACUCAUGCGUGUAUAUUAAAUCUUAAUAAACCAAUAACAGACUGUAAUCUCCAAAACUGUAAGCCAAAACAAACCUUUUUACUUAGUAAGUUAACUAGCUCAGGUAUUUUGUUACAGUAAUAGAGAACUGAUUGGCAGAAACUUUGGCCACUUCUGUGGUUUCCUUUCAUGAGAUAGUAUUUCUUUUUGUGGAUGUACUUAACGUAGUGUGAUCAUAUCAUCCUGCACUCACCUGCUCUGAGUCCAAGAUUCUUUUCAGGUAAUAAUAAAAGAGCAUGAGGCAGGUUGGCCCACCAGGUCUCUCUUCUUUUUUGUUUCACAGAUGAGAAACGGAGCGCUAGGAAAGGUGACUUGUCCAAAGUCACAGUUCUCAGUGGAUGUUCCACUUGUGACAAGCCUGCACAGUCAAUUCUAAAAUCCAAUGUUAUUUCUAGGUCACCAAAUCACCCUGUCUCCAGAAUGACAUGAAAUUAGUUACCCUAUCCUCCUCAGACGCGAGCAUACCCUUCCUGUCUUCCAUGCCUGCUCCACCAGGCCCAGAGCUCACCAGCUCGUAGCAAAUUCAGCCUAUUAGGUGGCUGAAAACCGCAUCGUCUGAGGAGUAUCAUACUGUCCUUUGCGCGCUAAGCUGCCAAGCACCUUGGAAGUGGCAGGCCAGCUUCACCCACGCCUCCCUUAUCCAUCAGCCCAGCCAUCGUGGCUUCCUCAAAUGGAUUUUACUUUCCGUUCCAUCUCAUUUGACACUUUAUCAGCUGGAAAUGGCUCUGCAGUGGUAUUCUGUCAGCUCCAUACCUGCCAGAAACUUCUUGCUCUCUGAAAAGAUGGGGAGGGUGCGGUGAAGGAAGAGAAAAAGACACGCAGUGCUAAGCUUAACUUGGGGAGAUGGCAGAGAAUACCUCCAUCUUCUCCUGUGGUGUGUUGCUGCUGCUGUUUUGGGGAGCUUUGCUGCUGUUUAGUCUGCUUAAUUUUUGUUUUUAAUUUUAACUGAGAGUAGUGUACAAAAAGAAGGGAGAAACAGCACAAAUGAAACAAGGAAAACAUUUUUUUUUCCCUAUUUCCAUUUUGGAAAGCGGCUUCUCAAGUUUAGCUGAAAAUUCAGCCUCGUCCUUCAUGUUCUUGUGGCUUACGCAUGAAGAGACAUGCCAGAGUAUGAUCCCCACACAAGCAUGUGUCCUCAGGGAGUGUGGAGUGGCACUUGGAAUCUGACACGAGGCCCUUAUAGGUUCUCUUAGAUCCUUUCUCCACAAGUCAAGCUGCUGAGCCAGUAGCAUCUGUGGUGGGUCAGGGAGGGAGAUGACGGGCUGAAGCACACAGGGGGAUUUCCACACAUUCCUUCCUAACUUAUUCCCGAGAGAUGGGUUCUAACUACUGCAAGUAAGAAAGGUUUGGAGAGGAUGCCAAGGGGUUGGAAGGAUGCCAGCAAAUCAGAGCUGAGGACGAGCCGCAGGUGAGACUUCAGGCUGCACCCCACCACUCUUCAGAGACCAACCAUCUCUGGGGCCACACACCAGAGUUCCAAAAGGACCUCGACACCUAAUUUCCAUUAGCGUAUCUGCACUCUUCUGCCUCUUGGUAGAACGGAAACCAGGCGUGGUAUUUGCUUUUGGUCCGCAUCUAUUUUUAUCCGGUAUCAACUGUGUUGAUUUUCGCAAUGCUUUCUUAUUUGUCAUCUCCUUUGCCCUCUGGAGCUCCGAAAAGAGCAGCAGAGCUGUUUCAGCGAUGCUCAUUGGAUCCCGGGAAAAGAUGGAUGGCUCUGGGUGUGCAGAAACCUGAGCUCUGUCUCCUUCUCCCCUCUGUCUCCUUCACGCACCUCUCCUCGACACCGUUGCCUCCAAAAGAUCUUCCACUUGGAAUCAGAUGUUUGAUUUCUGCCCGGAGUGAGCACGUUGGGAAAUGUUCCCAGGCUACUGAGAAACGCUGUCCAAGUUAUUAAUACCCAGAGCAGGCUGACAACCGGGCCCCAGGUUGCCAUCCUUGGCCUUUUUCUUUCCUUUGUUCUAUUUGGCUUCACAACUUAAAUGGUUUCUUUUUUUGAUAUGAAAAUUAAUUUCUGGACAAAAAGAAAUAUACCUGCACCGGGGCUAAAUUUGUGUUGUCUCCCAGCACGGCUGUAAUUACACUGUAGAUCAAACUGAUGCUUUCGUUUUCCGUGGCUUUUCCCUCUCUUGAUGUCCCUGAAGCUGCCAGGAUCGCCGGCAGCGGCAGUUUUCAUUAGCAGGGAGCAAGGGGAUGCGGAUGGAUGGCCCAGGUUAGCCAUCAUUCCUCCCUGUCUGUCUUCAGAUUCCUCUUUGGGAUGGGCAGGUGCAAUCCAGACAAACGAAGAGCCCCAGAAUUCAGACUCCCAAGCUUCUUUCCUUGGUGUCGGGAUGUAAAGAGAGGAGCCCCCUGCUUCUGUUGCCUGCUCCUCUGAGGAAUUUAGAAUGCCUUGCCUGCCUUUCCCGUGUCAGCAUUGAAGAGCUGACACAUCUCCCAAGGUCUCUACAUCUCUCCCGUUACCUUCCUUCCUAUGAGAGAUCCAUAUUCACUUGAGGACAGUAGAGCACUCUGAACAGGGUCAAAUCAUCAGAAAUGCUGGUGACGAGGGAAGUAAACCCACCUUCUUACACCCAGGAGUGUGGGGGUUUGACAUUUCGGUCUAACAGAAAAACUCAGUGUUUUGGGAUGAGUGUGGGUUUAAGGCCUCCCUCAGACAGGGUGCCCUAUCAAGUGUGGAAUCUGCUAUUCGCACCCCGGCCUCAUGUGUUCUUAUUUACAGUGCUCUCAUAGUAGCCACCUCAUGGCUGCCGUGAGAACCUGCCUUGUGACUGAGCACAGUUGUGAAGGCCUCACCAGUUACUUAAGACUCGUGCUUCUUCGGGAAAGCUGCCUACAUUUCUGUGCCUCGGUUUCCCCACUGGUGAAAUGAGAAUACGUGUCUUUGUCUCAGAAGGUGUUUGUGUGGAGAGUUACUAUGAAACUGAUCGACAGCCCAAGGCAAGCGCAGGAAACACUCAUACUGCACACCCAGUGUACAUGUUCUCUUUGCAUGGAAAAUGUGAUUGUCAGCAUCGGUAUUAUAUUGACUUUAGUUUAUUAUCCAUAAAAUGAAUAGUUCUUAUCUACUAAUUGGAUGAGAGCAUUAUAUCAGUUAUACUGUAUGUGGUUUUAAAGGAUUGUACCAAAAUCCAUGAGUUGUGUUCUUUAUUUUCAACUUUUUUUCUUGACCCUAUGAGUAAGUCUCUCUCUCUCUCUCUCUCUCUCUCUCUCUCUCUCUCCCUUUCUUUCUCCAUGCAGUAAAACAGAGCUGCAGGCAGUCAAUUUGGAGUCAGUGGGCUGUGUAAAGCAGCUAGAAUAAUAGUUUAUUGACCCUGAAUGUGGCAACUGGAACCGAGGGCAGGCUGGGCUCUGGGAGACAUAAUCGCCACAACAGAGAUUUGAACAUCUUUGAUCAUUUUUGUGACCUUUAAGAGACAAGAUGUCUAGGUGGACCCUGGUGAGCCCCUACAGAAAGCUGAAUGAAGGGGGUGGCUUCAUGUAGGAGGGGCUGUUCUAAUUCUGAGAGACACUUCUGCUCUGCACCCCCAAAAGGAGGGGAUUGCCAUCCGCAGAGUUUCUGCCUACCUGCACUCAGAAGUCUCUGUGCUUUAUUAGUGACAUCCUCAGAGCCACUGAAAACAGUCUUCAGCAAUGGGGCUCUCUUUGUCCUUCACUCAAGUGAAUCCCACAUCUGGGGACAGUCUUCAUUGUGUGAUAAAAUGCACUUUCUAAAACAAACUUAUCAGUAGCAUUUCAGCAAUGGAAAUGUUUUCAUUGAAAGUGGAAUUGUAACCGAAUGGCUGAAAGCCAAACAUAAAAAAGAAAUACAAGGACUUUAGCAAAGAAUGAAUGAAUGAAUGAAUGAAUGAUAGAAUGAAUGAUUCGCUGCAGUUUUAUUUGUAAAUGAAAUAUAGUUGAAAAAUAUGAGAAUAUAUUGUCAAAGAAUUUCAUCAACGUAAACUUCAGACCCAAAAUAUAUAAAGUUGAGGGAAAUUGAUCACAGCCUUUAGAAAAUACUUCCAGGUUAUACACUGCAACUUUCUUCCUUGUGUUCCCUCUUGGCAUCUGCAUGGAUUUAUUUACUGUGUGCUUCUUUGCUUCCAUUCUUUCUAUAGUGUGGAGGCUGUAGAUUUUUUUCCUUCAUUUUAAAAGCAAAGUACCAGUACAAAUAAAGAGCCUGUGUGUCUUUUGGCGUAUUUGUAAUCUGAAUUAUGAAGUUGUUUUUCCAGGGGCUAGUCAAAUAACCUAUGUGAAUUACAUGGAGUCUCUGAUAUUAACCAAGCUAUUUUCAGCAUUAGAUAAAAAGGGCAUUUUCAUUAGUUGAAGGGUAUUGUGGACUCUGUGGCAAAUAUUUGGAGGAAAGGGGGGUUAAUUAUUUCUUUUUAUUUUUCCCCACUUAAAAUAGAGAAAGUCUGGUAAACACUCUAUUAUCCAGAAGCCAGAAGAUUCCUUUGUGAAUAAUGCAUGUAAAUAGAACUGAUUGCUCCGGGAGAAAUGAAGGGUCCCAUACUUAAGGGAAGUAGAAUGCAGGUGAAGGACAAAAGCCGAGGAAUGGAGUGGCAUUUUGCUGUGCAGAACAACAGUUUGGUUCCUGCCCAGAGUUCCUGCAUUGGCUUCUCUCACUGACGAACACGCCAUAAGGUGAAAUCAACUCUUUCCUCCCCAAGUUGCUUUUGGUCAAUGUCUUUAUCACAGCAACAGAAAGCAAAUAAAUACAUCUGGCUUUGGAUUUUAUUAGCUUAUUUUAUUAGUUAACCCUGUUCUUUGGGGGCGGGGUAUUUGGGUUUUUUUUGCUUUUUGGUUUUGUUUUUGUUUGUUCCUAAGUAUUUAGAACAGUAACUUUUGACUGGGUGGUAUCUAUUUCUGGUAGCUAGUAAUUAUUUAAGCACUGGCUUUCAUAGAGGUAAAAUGGAAGAGGGAAGAACUUCAAUAUGACUUUUUAUAAAAACCUGAGGUGUCAAAUGGCUACAGGAAUUAUGAACCAAAGCCAGUUCCACCAGUUUAGCCUUUGUGGUAAUUUUCCUAAAAGGGAUAAUUCCCUGUGUGAAUUUUAAGGAACUCAGAACCACAGAUUCAGUAAAAGUUCAUCGGCGGUAGGUAGAGUUCCUACCAAGUGCUUGGUCAGAAUGCAGGCAGGCCAAGCAGAGCGAAGACUGGCCUCAUUGUCCAAUCACAGGCAGAUGACCACUGACUCAUUCCUCUUCUUCAGCCCGAGAGGAGUAUGUGAUGAGCAUCAACGUUGGGAGACCUUGUGAGAUGGCAGCAGUCGUGCAUGUUGUUGUUUUGAAACCAAGCACAGGACACUGGGUUCUUUACGCGCAUGGGCCUUUGGGAAGAACUUCCACAUCCAGUGUGACUACCCCAAGCACACAGCCCUUAAUCAUUUGAACACAGAGACCCUGUAGUCACCUGCAUUUCCCUCUGGUGGGCACUGAGUCUCUCUAUUAACCUGCCAGCAUCUAAAUUGGCUCUUCAGUUGAAGCCUAAAUGACUGCUUAUCCUAGAAGCUCUUCAUGUUCCAAAAUUAGCCCACAGUUGAAGAGCGGGUCAUGUUGCUUCCUGUCUUGGGUGAUAGCAACUUUCUCUGCCACUGGAAGCACAUCUCUUAACCUUUCCUGACUUCCCCAUCUGUGAUUUGCAGUUAAUUAUUCCGAACAUUAAGGGGCUAUGGAGAGGAUUAAUUUGUUAAUGUUUGUAAAGUACUUUAGAUAUGUAAAGUGCUAAGUAUUUCUAAAUUCCACACAAAUAAAUUGCAAUUUGGGAUCUAA